GAGCAGGUGAUCUCUGAGACGCGCCGCCUAAUGGAGCGAUACAAGGAUGAAGGAAAUGAACUGAGCAUCACCAUCACCGGCCACAGCCUCGGAGGCGCGCUCGCAUUGCUCAGCGCAUACGACAUUGCCGAGACCGGUCUGAAUGUCCUCCCUGAUGGCCGGCGUGUGCCGAUCACUGUAUUUACAUUUGGCAGCCCCCGGGUCGGCAACCGGCGGUUCGCAGAUCGGUGUGAUGAGCUUGGCAUACACGUCCUGCGUGUGUUUAACAAACAUGACAAAGUGCCCACGGUACACAAAGAAUGUCCAUUACACACUUGUUCAAAUUCACUGUGGAAAUGCUCUCUACUACUCUCAUAAACUCACUCUCUCACACACAAAACAAAGAAGAAAAAUAGUAAAUAGGAUGAGUGUGCACUCGGACCCUUCAAUCGUUCAUAUUCGAUCUUGGCUGUGCACCCUUCAAUGGUUCAUAUAUUGGACAGGCUUAUCCAAAGGCACACAUUUUGUUUUCUUUUUUGAUGUUUUUUUUUUAAUACUAGUUGAGAAUUCGUAUGAAAUUUGCUUUCAUGUAUCUUUCUAAGGUAAAUACAAUAAAAAUAAUAAUUCAAUAAAAAUAACCAAAUACCCAGGUAUUUUGGUCAUUUUUUAUUUCAUUUAUUUGUUUUUUAUGAAAUUUAAAUGAAAAUCAUGUUUUUAUGUUUAGAAUUUAAAAAUAAUCUCAUAUAUUUUGUAUUUUACAUUUACAACCCACUGUUUAUAGUGGUAUUGUAUUUUAACUUUGGGUUUUGUUAGGAUACACCACUUGGUAGUGUACAUCUUUAAAGUGCUCCAACAUUUUUUGACACUAAAAUACCUGUAAUACAAUAUUUUUCAAGUAGACGCAUUUUUUAGUCAUUUAAAAAGGUAGGAUGGAUAUUUUUAUAAAAAAAUAAUACCAUUCUAUUAGUAGUUAAAAACAAUUAAUACAGCUUGUAAGUGAAUUCAUACACUAUCGGUAAUGCCAUUGCCUACUAUUGUUAAUAAAUACUUUUAUUUCUAUUAGGAUUUCAGGUCAGCCCUUACUUAAAAUACACCUUGAAAAAGAAUCUCCAUUUUCUAGGCCAAGUUUUCGGUGUUCAAGAAGUUAAGAUCCAAACUUUUUCUUAGAAAUACUCACCUAGUAAUACUUAUAUGAAUCCCAAAAAAAAAUUUUAAAAAGAAGAAUUGUUGAUUCCGCAUGAGCAUAUACUAUGUAUUUGCUCCCUCGAGUAAAACUCAUAUUGUCAAUAUUUUGUGGACCCCAAAUUUUGGGGAUGUAACUUCUAGAACUUAAUAAACAACUUUUUCCCAAAAAAAAAGUAAAAGAAAAAAGACUCUCUAUAGGCUUUUAAAUUAAGGUCCCAAUAAUAAGAACUUGGCCAAGAUUUAGGUGUUAAAAAAAUUAAAAUCCUAAUUUGUUUUUCCGGAAAUAAUCGUCUAGUGAUACUCACAUGGACCCGGAUAAAAAAAACUUCUAAAUCACUCUUUUAUCCUAGGUACUUACCCCCACAGUACGCUCCAAUAGGAGAAGUAAAUAGGGCAAGUCAACCUUACCUGACAAGGUCCAACAAUCGACACCAACUUGAUUGGAUAUGUUGGGUCUAAGUGAUCGAAAUCGAGUUAGAAUCAAAAUUGAAAAAUUAAAUUUAUCAUAAUUUAUUUUAUAUUGUUUAUAAUAUAUAAGAUAAUUGUUAUUAUGGGAUACACUGCAAUCGAUCCCAACCCGGUUGGGUCUGGGCUGGAUCCGACCUAUCCAACCAGACAAUUGAGUCCACACUUCUAAAUCGGAUGAUCUAGGAAAACGGUAAUGUAUUAAGAUCUGGCCCGAAUCUACCCAACCUAAUUUCCAAGCCUAUUUUAUGAUUUGCUUAAAAUUAUUUUCAUAUGAAAAAAUUCUCUCACACGGUCAAGUGUGUAAAUAGUUUUACAUCAAUUAGUUGUUAAUUGGUGUGGAAUGAUAUACUAUGAUCUAUUGGUAGGAAAAUAUUCAUAUACAUGACUGUAUGAGAAAUUUUUUUCAUGUGAAUAUAUUUUUAAGAAAAUAUCUUCUUGUUAACAUAACGUGGCAUUAAGGAAUUUCCAAAUGGAAAAAAUGAGGGACAGAUCACUCAUGAUUAGCAAGCUGUUUUUACAAAUAGGAAAAAUGAGGGACGAUUACUCAUGAUCAGAUACAGGACCAAAGAUGUACGAGUCUGUUAAUUAGUAGAUAGUGGAAAAUUAGUCUUACUGGUGAUAAAUGGCUCAUUCAAAGUGGGUUUUAUUCUUCUCUGUAAGUGCAUUCCAUUGCCACGGUUCAUAUCAGGUACCAGGCAUGAUCAUCAACGAGGAUGUUGCCGUGCCUGACAUUGUGGCGGACAUCAUGCCGUGGAGCUACUCACACGUGGGGGUAGAGCUGGAACUCGACCACAAUGUAUCCCCGGUUGUAGAAGCCGGGCUCGCCAUCCCGGCGCGGCACAACUUGGAGCUCUACCUCCACUUGGUGAAUGCAUAUAAUGGGCCGAAAGGUGGCUUCAAACCAGCUUACAAGAGAGACCCGGCGUUGCUCAACAAGAGCGACACCAUUCUGAAAGAGAAAUUUCAUAUGCCGCCGUGCUGGCGUCAGGAUGAGAACAAGGGCCUGGUGCGGGCGCAAGACGGACGGUGGGUGGUGCCCGAGAGGACAAGCAUCGAUGCACACCCUCCUGACACCGACCACCACUUGGAGCAGGCACUCAAAAUUGCACCUGGUUCCUCUGCUACCACCUCUGCAUCUUCUUGAGACUGCUUGCCUCCUUGUCAUCUGCGUACAAAUCGAUCCACUUACUGUGCUUCUCGAACUGCUCAAUCUUCUGCAGCACCCGUGGAUUAAAUUCCUGUAGCUUUGCAUUUCUACAGUAUGGUUUGUUAAUGACACUAAGCGUUAAUAGUAAAUAAAGUGAGGAAUAAAUGGGGUUUUCUCCCCAAACAUUAGUGUUUUUUUUUUUGGAUCGAAAUGAGGAGGGAUUUCAUGAAGGAAAAAUUUUAUAUAGAGCUGAGGUUCUAAACAAUCAAAUUAGAACCCACUCCAAAAAUUUCACUAGAAGAGGUUGUUUUGAUGUCUAAAUAUCUUCAAAUUGAUCAUCUCACAAUCAAGAUGCAUGGACAUGAGAAAAAAAUAUUUCAAGUUUUGGAAAUAAUUUAUCUUGUAAGGUAUGUUUUGGACCAUCCAUUUUCAAGUUUUCAAAUAUUUGUUAGAUCUAUAUUUGAAAGUGUGUUUUACUUUGAUUGUUUAGAACCUUGGCUCUAUACAAACCGCACCCUUACAUGAAAUUUAGGAUGGAAAACAGAUCCAACUUUUUGUAGCUCUAGCUGUUGGAUGAAAUGAAAUAAAUGGUACAAAAUAAUUAAUAAAUAAUAUUUUUUAAUCGAAGAUUCAUGAUUGCCAUGGGCAAUAUUAUCGACCUCUCAAAUUUUGGAUCUGAGAUGGAUUUUGGAGAGGGGACGCAUAUAAACAGGUACAUUGUCUGACCCACCAAAACCCUACCUAUAAAAUAAAUAGGGGAAAUUUUAAUAUACUGUUAUGGUUAAAUGCGGUCCACUUGAAAAAUGGAGAUAAAUCUAGGAUCUCAAACCUAUCAAUUAUUUGCCCAAGAAAAACAUAUCUGACUACACCUUCGAAGUAUUUCUCCUCUAGAGCCAUGAUGGUGUGAGUUUAAAAUAGAGAAAAUUGCGUCCCUUCCCCUUUAAUUAACUUUUAUUACUAAAUUCCCCCUCUUUUUACGUUAUUUAAAAAUAUACCCGUUUUUAUUCUGCUUUUUUAAAAAGGGAAUGGUUUUUAUGAGUCAAUGAGUCAGACUCUUAAAAAUCUAUUUUUGAGCUGGAUUUUCGGACCUAACUUUUAAGGACAUGUAAUCUCUAAUAUGGAGAUCAUAAAUAUAAAAAAUUAAAAAUAAAAAUAAAUAAUUAAAAUUAAUAAAUAAAACUAAUUAUUAUAUGAAGAAAUAUUUGGGCCGUUAGUUUCAAUUGUUAUUAGAUAGACCACCUAUUUGCUUCCAUCAUUAAGAUAGAUGCUUUAUACCUUGAGACCGCAUAUUGUAGAAAUGCAAUCCAGCCCGCGUGAAACAAUUUCCUUUUGUAAAUAACCCAAAUGCCUGUACUUCGGAUUUUGAAAAAUAAAAGUCUACCAAUGAAAUUUUUACAAUUUUGGGAUUGCAAGGAUUUCAAACCACGAAACUUUUAUUACUGUCAAUUUGAUUCAACAAUUUUGGGGUCCGAAACCCUAAAAUUUAUUGGGGCAAAACCGUAUAAUAACAUCAGGGUUUCAAACCCCGAAUUCAUUAAUGUUGCCAAAUGGAUUCCAAGUAACAAUUUUGGUAUUCGAAUUUGUUGGUGCAAAACCUAAUAACAUCUUCCGGGGAAUAUAUUGUUGGAUAUGGUGAAUCCAAAAUCACUCAAAUAAGGAAAUCUAAUAGUACGUGGGAUUGAGAUCGAUACUAAUAAGUUUUCUAAAAAAAAUAUAAAUCUAAAAAGAUUAAGAUAUAUAAGAAAUUUCUUACUUAGUGUGGAUUCUUAAGAUAUAUNNNNNNNNNNNNNNNNNNNNNNNNNNNNNNNNNNNNNNNNNNNNNNNNNNNNNNNNNNNNNNNNNNNNNNNNNNNNNNNNNNNNNNNNNNNNNNNNNNNNNNNNNNNNNNNNNNNNNNNNNNNNNNNNNNNNNNNNNNNNNNNNNNNNNNNNNNNNNNNNNNNNNNNNNNNNNNNNNNNNNNNNNNNNNNNNNNNNNNNNNNNNNNNNNNNNNNNNNNNNNNNNNNNNNNNNNNNNNNNNNNNNNNNNNNNNNNNNNNNNNNNNNNNNNNNNNNNNNNNNNNNNNNNNNNNNNNNNNNNNNNNNNNNNNNNNNNNNNNNNNNNNNNNNNNNNNNNNNNNNNNNNNNNNNNNNNNNNNNNNNNNNNNNNNNNNNNNNNNNNNNNNNNNNNNNNNNNNNNNNNNNNNNNNNNNNNNNNNNNNNNNNNNNNNNNNNNNNNNNNNNNNNNNNNNNNNNNNNNNNNNNNNNNNNNNNNNNNNNNNNNNNNNNNNNNNNNNNNNNNNNNNNNNNNNNNNNNNNNNNNNNNNNNNNNNNNNNNNNNNNNNNNNNNNNNNNNNNNNNNNNNNNNNNNNNNNNNNNNNNNNNNNNNNNNNNNNNNNNNNNNNNNNNNNNNNNNNNNNNNNNNNNNNNNNNNNNNNNNNNNNNNNNNNNNNNNNNNNNNNNNNNNNNNNNNNNNNNNNNNNNNNNNNNNNNNNNNNNNNNNNNNNNNNNNNNNNNNNNNNNNNNNNNNNNNNNNNNNNNNNNNNNNNNNNNNNNNNNNNNNNNNNNNNNNNNNNNNNNNNNNNNNNNNNNNNNNNNNNNNNNNNNNNNNNNNNNNNNNNNNNNNNNNNNNNNNNNNNNNNNNNNNNNNNNNNNNNNNNNNNNNNNNNNNNNNNNNNNNNNNNNNNNNNNNNNNNNNNNNNNNNNNNNNNNNNNNNNNNNNNNNNNNNNNNNNNNNNNNNNNNNNNNNNNNNNNNNNNNNNNNNNNNNNNNNNNNNNNNNNNNNNNNNNNNNNNNNNNNNNNNNNNNNNNNNNNNNNNNNNNNNNNNNNNNNNNNNNNNNNNNNNNNNNNNNNNNNNNNNNNNNNNNNNNNNNNNNNNNNNNNNNNNNNNNNNNNNNNNNNNNNNNNNNNNNNNNNNNNNNNNNNNNNNNNNNNNNNNNNNNNNNNNNNNNNNNNNNNNNNNNNNNNNNNNNNNNNNNNNNNNNNNNNNNNNNNNNNNNNNNNNNNNNNNNNNNNNNNNNNNNNNNNNNNNNNNNNNNNNNNNNNNNNNNNNNNNNNNNNNNNNNNNNNNNNNNNNNNNNNNNNNNNNNNNNNNNNNNNNNNNNNNNNNNNNNNNNNNNNNNNNNNNNNNNNNNNNNNNNNNNNNNNNNNNNNNNNNNNNNNNNNNNNNNNNNNNNNNNNNNNNNNNNNNNNNNNNNNNNNNNNNNNNNNNNNNNNNNNNNNNNNNNNNNNNNNNNNNNNNNNNNNNNNNNNNNNNNNNNNNNNNNNNNNNNNNNNNNNNNNNNNNNNUAUAUAUAUAUAUAUAUAUAUAUAUAUAUAUAUAAAAUAUGGAUUAGAUAUCCAAUUCCUAAUGAAAAAGAUUUAUUAGAUAGACUUGUAAAUGCUUGUAUUUUUUCAAAAUUUGACCUUAAAUUUGGAUACUGGCAAAUACAAAUAAAUGAAAACGAUUGCUAUAAAACAACAUUUAAUGUUCCAUUUGGCCAGUAUGAAUGGAAUGUAAUGCCAUUCGGCUUAAAAAAUGCACUAUCUGAAUUCCAGAAAAUUAUGAAUGAUGUUUUUAACCCUUAUAUGACAUCUAUGAUAGUUUACAUUGAUGAUGUUCUUAUUUUUUCAACUGAUAUACAUCAACAUUUUAAACAUUUACAUAUAUUUCUCAAUACUGUUAAAAAUGUAGGACUUGUAGUUUCUGCAAAGAAAAUGGUUCUUUGUCAAACUAAAAUUAGAUUCUCAGGCCAUAAUAUCUUCCAAGGCCCAAUUAUUCCCAUAGAUAGAGCUAUUGAGUUUCUAAUGGCUUUGAUACCAAACAGACUCCAAGAUCUUAUUUUGUCUCAAAUUCUUAAAUUCUAAAGUUAUCUCAGUAACAUAGAGAGCAUAAUGCUAUAAUUUAAUAAUGAUCUAAGAAGAGAAGUGUAGUAUAGAAAGAUAAAUAAAAUAAUAAUGAAUGAAAUAACAGAGAUAUCUAAUAUUAUCCACGUGGUAUAAUUAUUAUUUAGUAUCUUAACGCUAACUAUUAUUUUAAACUGCAUAAUAUGAACAAUCUUUAUUGAUACAGAUUCAAACAAAGUACAUAUUGAUAUAAAGUACAAACAGAGUGAAACUGAAUACAGACGGUAUACAACUUACAAUUUACAAAAGAAGAAACUUGAAAAGUGUUGCCAUUCGUACGGACAGAACGAUGAUAAUUUAUGUAUAUUAUAGUCACACAUUACUGCAAAAUAAAAUAAAAGGUAAUGAAAAGAUCUUACUUGAAAAAGGCUUGCCUGAAGGUUUCGCAGAAGUCAGGCGGAAUGUGAUCGGGUAGAGAGUAAUGAAGCCUUUCUGAAUAGGGAGAGAGAAAGCAGGCAGAGCUUAUGAAACGAGAGAGAGCAGGCGGAGCUUUAGAAGAGGGGGAAUAGGUGAAAGUUCCCUAUACCUCAAGUGAAUGAGAAGAGAGGGUUUUAUAGGCAGGAGUGAGCAGACAAAGGUGUCGAGCUGGAGCUGUUUUGAUUAGACAUAAAGAGUGAAGAGGACGUAAAGAGAAGAAAGGAAUUUGGCAGUGGUGAGCUGACAAAGUGAGCUGGCAGAGUUGAUGAGAAGAAAGGAAUCUUUAAAGUCAGAUAUAACGUAAAGAUAAGGGGUGAAAGAGACAUGACACGAGCAAAAGCAACUUUUGUACAUGACAUGACUAAAAGAAAAAACAAAAGUAACUUUUGUACAUGACAUGACUAAAAAAAAAUAACUUGUGUCGGCCAUAUCGUACGGAAGGUAUCUUGAUUAGUGACUUCCGUCGCUUCUGUCGUACGGCUGAUGCCAUCUGUUGACCCCUUUUGGAUGUAUAUACAGGUGGCUUCACUGGAAAGGAGAAUGUGACAACUGUCUAAAACGAUAGCUGAUAUUCUUUACAGUUUGCUGGGCUGAGCAGGGCUUAUUCGGGUCUUUGCCUGAAGUCAUUGUCGGGCUUAGAUGAAGGAGAUGUGGCUUUUGAGGUUUCUUUAUGUGUGAUCUUUAAUAACUGAUUCUCUAAUUCAUCUUUAGUUGCUCUAGGGUUUUGUCUUAUAUAUUCUGCGAAAGUAUUUGGAUCAAAUUCUUUGGGAGUAUUUUUGAUAAUCAUGAGCAGCAGGAGGUAUUCGUUUAGCUUUUAUAGUAUUUGGGUCCAUGCUAAAAACAUCCCACCAUCGAAUCGAUAUUCUCUUUCCCAAUCGAGGUAUAUAUUCAAAAUUAUUAUGAGUAUUUUCAUUUAUUCUAUAUUCCCAUUGUACUAUCCAGGGUAUUUAAUAUAUAGCCAUAAAAUAAAGAUGAUAGUCUAUAUCAUCAUUAACUCCAUUAUAUUUAGCAAAUGUUUUUUGAGCACUUUUAAAGGAGUCAAGCAAUAUCUGAGUUCUUGAUCCCGAGAUUAGAAACCAGUAACGGAACCAACUCGGGAAUCUCUUAAAAACAGGCAUUUUAAUAUGAACAAACCAUGUUUGAGAAUUAUUUAGAUUUUGAUAUGCAAACACUUUAUGCCAUGCAUCUAUAUAUUCAGUAUAUCGAUAUGAUUUAUAUUGAAAUUCUGCGGCUUGAAGUUUCCGGCCCUGGGAUGGGCUGUAUCCCUAAUCAUCUUAUGACAAUAAUUUCCUCAUUUGUAUUUUCGAAUAUCCAAUUAUUUUUGUAUUGGGAUUGAAGAAAUACACAAUUGAAAUAGACCCUGUUUCUAAAAGGACAGCUUCGUACCAUUCUCUGGUCUUGUUGCCGUUUGAAGGAUUGAGGUGGUUUUGUAAAUAUAGAGGGGCUAAUUUAUUUGGGUCAAUAUGUUUCAUCAAUGAUAACAUAUAUUAAGAAAGUAGUUUCUUCAUAUACGGAUUUAUUUGGGUUAACGGAUUUAUGAAUAUAUUGGCUGAUUAUUGUUCUUUUAUCUCCAGUAUUAGGUAUUUUAUCUAUAAUUUCUAGAAUUAAAUUGUCUUCUUUGAUAAGAGUAUGACAUGCACAUUUGUUAUCGUUUUCUGAAGAUGUCUCAUUUAAUAAAUCUUCAUCUUUUAUUAUUCUUAUAUCUGAUUCUUCAUCAUAACUUUUCGAAUAUGAGGAAGAUGUUGUACUACUAUUAUUAUCAUUAUCAUAUAGUUGAAUAAUUUCAUAUAAUUGAUUUCUUAUAUUUUCAUCCACUAUUAAUGAUUCUAUCUUUUUUUCUACCUGACAAUUAUUUUUAUAAUGUCCUAAUUUUCCACAUUUAUAGCAUCUAGGUAUUUUUCUUCUAGGCUUUUUAGAACUUCCUUUAGAAGGUUGUUCAUACUUUUUGUAUUUAUUUUUCUUAUACGAUUUUUUGUAUGAUUUUUGUCGCUUUUCUUGUUUUAUUCUUUUAUGGGGUUUAUUUUGGAAAAUAUUUAGAUUGUAUUCAAAUUGUUCAUAAAAAUCACCAAGUUCUUUAUGACCAGUCAUCUUUUGUUUAUCAAGUAGUUUUUUGAGUUUUAGAUCAGUACAAAGAGCUAGCCCUUCAGCACAUAUCUCGCCCGAUAAUUCUCCUAGAGUAUAUGGUCUUAUCUCUCGGACUACCGUAUAAAUGACUAAUGUUAUCUCAAUCUUAUCUCAUAAACAUUAUUAUUGGCUAAAAGUAGUUUAACAGUAAAUAAUUUAAGAAUUUCUAAUGGCUCUGAUACCAAACAGACUCCAAAAUCUUAUUUCGUCUCAAAUUCUUAAAUUCUAAAGUUAUCUCAGUAACAUAGAGAAGAUAGUGCUAUAAUUUAAUAAUGAUCUAAGAAGAGAAGUGUAGUAUAAAAAGAUAAAUAGGUGUUAAAAAUGCAUGACUUGUAGUUUCUGCAAAGAAAAUGGUUCUUUGUCAAACUAAAAUUAGAUUCUUAGGCCAUAAUAUCUUCCAAGGCACAAUUAUUCCCAUAGAUAGAGCUAUUGAAUUUUCUACUAAAUUCCCUGAUAUUAUCUUAAAUAAAGUUGAAUUAUAACGAUUCCUAGGAUGCUUAAACUAUAUUUCUGAUUUCAUUAAAGGAAGUUCUAAAAAGCCUAGAAAAAAAAUACCUAGAUGCUAUAAAUGUGGAAAAUUAGGACAUUAUAAAAAUAAUUGUCAGGUAAAGAGAAAGAUAGAAUCAUUAAUAUUAGAUGAAAAUAUAAGAAAUCAAUUAUAUGAAAUUAUUCAACUAUAUGAUAAUGAUAAUAAUAGUAGUACAACAUCUUCCUCAUAUUCGAAAAGUUCUGAUGAAAAAUUAGAUAUAGGAAUAAUAAAAGAUGAAGAUUUAUUAAACGAGACAUCUUCAGAAAACGACAACAAAUGUGCAUGUCAUACUCUUACCAAAGAAAACAAUUUAAUUCUAGAAAUUAUAGAUAAAAUACCUAAUACUGAAGAUAAAAGAACAAUAAUCAGCCAAUAUAUUCAAAUAACAAAAACUAGAAAUAAACCAACUCCCUUAAUAAAACCACUUGAAGAAUAUAGCUUCUCUGAAAUACUUAAACGAAUUGGUAAAAAAGGUAACAGUCAUAAAGAACCUACUAUUGCUGAACUAAAACACGAAGUUAAUGAGGUAAAAUCUGAACUUAAUAAUUUGAAGAAUAGGGUUAAAUUAUUAGAAUUAACUAAUAAAUUAACCGAUAAUCCACCUGAAGAUGAAGAAAUAGAAUUUGAUGAACUAAUCACUAAUACUAGAAUAUUAGAUAAACCUGAAUCUUCAGAAAAUAAACAAGAACCUCAGUUAAAUUUAAUAAAUAAAAUCUUAAAUAAAAAAUGGUAUACCUUAAUUAAAAUAAUAGUUCAGAAUGAAUACCAUUUCCAAUCUAUGGCCUUGAUAGAUUCAGGUGCCGAUUUGAACUGCAUAAACGAGGGAUUAGUCGCUACCAAAUAUUUUAAUAAAACUACGCAAAUCCUAAAUACAGCCGAUGGAAGCAAAUUAAACAUAAAUUAUAAAUUAUCAAAUGCUGCCAUAUGCAAUAAUGGCAUCUGUCUAGAAUUACCAUUUAUCAUGGUCAACGAUUGAAGGAAUAAAAGUAAAAUUCGAAUUUAUUGAUAAACCAAAAAUAAAAGAAAUAAAUAAUAUAAAACAAAAUAUACAAAAUAAAGAGAAAUUUUUAUAUCAGCUCAAAACUGAAAUAAAACAUAAAGCAGUUGGAGAACAACUAUUACUUCUUGAAACGAAAUCAAAAAUUGAAAACCGAAGACAACAAUUUGAAAAAGAAAAUAUGUAGUGAUUUACCUAAUGCUUUUUGGAAUCGACGAAAACAUAUAGUAUCUCUUCCAUAUGAAGAAGGAUUUUUUGAAACUAAAAUUCCAAGAAAAGCCCACCCAAUUCAGAUGAAUUCAAAAAUGUUAGAAAUUUGUCAUAAAGAAAUAACUUCUCUCUUAGAAAAGGGAUUAAUUAGGCCAAGCUCAUCUCCUUGGAGUUGUGCCGUCUUUUAUGUAGAAAAUAAUGCCGAAAAAGAACGAGGAGUUCCAAGAUUAGUUAUUAAUUACAAACCACUAAAUAAAGUUUUAAAAUGGAUCAGAUAUCCAAUUCCUAAUAAAAAAGAUUUGUUAGAUAGACUUGUAAAUGCUUGUAUUUUUUCGAAAUUUGACCUUAAAUCCGGAUACUGGCAAAUACAAAUAAACGAAAAAGAUCGCUAUAAAACAGCAUUUAAUGUUUCAUUUGGUCAAUAUGAAUGGAAUGUAAUGCCAUUCGGCCUAAAAAAUGCACCAUCUGAAUUUCAGAAAAUUAUGAAUGAUGUUUUUAACCCUUAUAUGACAUCUAUGAUAAUUUACAUUGAUGAUGUUCUUAUAUUUUAAACUGAUAUACAUCAACAUUUCAAACAUUUACAUAUAUUUCUCAAUACUGGUAAAAAUGCAGGACUUGUAGUUUCUGCAAAGAAAAUGGUUCUUUGUCAAACUAAAAUUAGAUUCUUAGGCCAUAAUACUCUAAGGGUAAAACAUAAAGAAGAAAUAGUUAUUGAAAAUGUUGAACAACAUACUCAAAACUGGAACAUACCAAAGGUCCCAAUAACAAACGUAUAUAAAAAAGAAAAUUUUAAUCUAAAAAUUGUAUAUGCCAUCAAAACUGUUGAACAAAGUCCACCUGUUCAAAAUGAACAAGAAAAUCUUCAGCUCUUAACAAAUAAAAUUGUACAAUCUCAUAAAAAUAAAGAAAAUCAAUACCAUACAUAUAUUACAGACCAACAAAAACAUAUUCGAAGUAUUCAUCCUCCUGAAGAAAGUAUAAACAUCCUAGGAAAAGAUAAGCAAGAAAAAUUAGAAACUAUAGCUACUCCAAGCAAAACACUUCCUGGAGAACACUAUCAUAAAAUAGAACUAUUACCUCAUAUAUUAGAACAAAAUAAUUAUACAAAUUUAUAUUUACAAACCAUAGGAAAACAGACAACCACAAGAAAAAAUUGAAGAAAAGAAAAAGGCAAUAUUAUUUAAACCUCAUCCUCUAAUUAAUAAAGAAAGAUUUCAGAUGAAAGAAGAACCUUCUUUUGAAUUAAUGCAACAAUUAAUUACCAAAUUAGCAAGCCUAGAUAUCAAAGAAAAGGAUAAAAGUCAAGAAUCAGUAAUAAGGAUAACAGAACCAGCAGCUAUGAUGUUACAUUAAAAAUGAAUUGAAUCAAGACAUCGUUCAAGCCGAAAGCGAUAAUGUCAAUACCCUCAUAUAUACAAUAACCCUUCACUUUGUUGGAAGUACUGCCCUACUAGAAGCAAGAUCUGAAGACCUCCUUUCUAAUCUUAAAUGUCCAACCCGUUCUCACUAUAAAUGGUAUAAAGAUGUUUUUUUUUCACGACUUCUUAUUCGUGAAGAUAGUAGUUCCAAUCACUGGAAAGAAAAGUUUAUUUCCGGCCUUCCCUAUCUCUUUACUGAAAAAGUCCGCAACCGCCUUAAAACUAAAAAUGGGGGGAUUAUUCCUUAUCAACUCUAUACUCUAGGAAAAUUAUCGGCCGAAAAAUGUGCUAAACGGCUAGCUCUUUGUACUGAUCUAAAACUCAAAAAACAACUUGAUAAACAAAAGAUGACUGGUCAUAAAGAACUUGGUGAUUUUUGUGAACAAUUUGGAUACAAUGUAAAUAUUUCCCAAAAUAAACCCCAUAAAAGAAUAAAACAAGAAAAACGACAAAAAUCAUAUAAGAAAAUAAAUACAAAAAAUAUGAACAACCUUUUAAAGGAAGUUCUAAAAAGCCUAGAAGAAAAAUACCUAGAUGCUAUAAAUGUGGAAAAUUAGGACAUUAUAAAACAAUUGUCAGGUAAAGAAAAAGAUAGAAUCAUUAAUAUUAGAUGAAAAUAUAAGAAAUCAAUUAUAUGAAAUUAUUCAACUAUAUGAUAAUGAUAAUAAUAGUAGUACAACAUCUUCCUCAUAUUCGAAAAGUUCUAAUGAAGAAUCAAAUAUAGGAAUAAUAAAAGAUGAAGAUUUAUUAAAUGAGACAUCUUCAGAAAACGACAACAAAUGUGUAUGUCAUACUCUUACCAAAGAAGACAAUUUAAUUCUAGAAGUUAUAGAUAAAUACCUAAUACUGAAGAUAAAAGAACAAUAAUCAGCCAAUAUAUUCAAAUAACAAAAACUAGAAAUAAACCAACUCCUUUAAUAAAACUACCAGAAGAAUAUAGCUUCUCUGAAAUACUUAAACGAAUUGAUAAAAAAGGUAACAGUCAUAAAGAACCUACUAUUGCUGAACUAAAACACGAAGUUAAUGAGGUAAAAUCUGAACUUAAUAAUUUGAAGAAUAGGGUUAAAUUAUUAGAAUUAACUAAUAAAUUAACCGAUAAUCCAUCUGAAGAUGAAGAAAUAGAAUUUGAUGAACUAAUCACUAAUACUAGAAUAUUAGAUAAACCUGAAUCUUCAGAAAAUAAACAAGAACCUCAGUUAAAUUUAAUAAAUAAAAUCUUAAAUAAAAAAUGGUAUACCUUAAUUAAAAUAAUAGUUCAGAAUGAAUACCAUUUCCAAUCUAUGGCCUUGAUAGAUUCAGGUGCCGAUUUGAACUGCAUAAACGAGGGAUUAGUCGCUACCAAAUAUUUUAAUAAAACUACGCAAAUCCUAAAUACAGCCGAUGGAAGCAAAUUAAAAAUAAAUUAUAAAUUAUCAAAUGCUGCCAUAUGCAAUAAUGACAUCUGUAUAAAAUUACCAUUUAUCAUGGUAAAAGGACUUAACCAAGCUGUUAUUCUAGGUACUCCUUUUAUCAGUAUGUUAUACCCUAUUGUUAUAGACCAUACUGGAUUAGAAUCAACGAUUGAAGGAAUAAAAGUAAAAUUCGAAUUUAUUGAUAAAUCAAAAAUAAAAGAAAUAAAUAAUAUAAAACAAAAUAUAUAAAAUAAAGAGAAAUUUUUAUAUCAGCUCAAAACUGAAAAUAUAAAGCAGUUGAAGAACAACUAUUACUUGUUCAAAUGAAAUCAAAAAUUGAAAACCUAAGACAACAAUUUGAAAAAGAAAUAUGUAGUGAUUUAUCUAAUGCUUUUUGGAAUCGACAAAAACAUAUAGUAUCUCUUCCAUAUGAAGAAGGAUUUUCUGAAACUAAAAUUCCAACAAAAGCCCGCCCAAUUCAAAUGAAUUAAAAAAUGUUAGAAAUUUGUCAUAAAGAAAUAACUUAUCUCUUAGAAAAGGGAUUAAUAAGGCCAAGCUCAUCUCCUUGGAGUUGUGCCGCCUUUUAUGUAAAAAAUAAUACUGAAUAUAUAGAUGCAUGGCAUAAAGUGUUUGCAUAUCAAAACCCAAAUAAUUCUCAAACAUGGUUUGUCCAUAUUAAAAUGCCUGUUUUUUAGAGAUUCCUGAGUUGGUUUCGUUAUUGGUUUCUAAUCUGGGGAUCAAGAACUCAGAUAUUGCCUGACUCCUUUAAAAGUGCUCAAACAACAUUUGCUGAAUAUAAUGGAGUUAAUGAUGAUAUAAACUAUCAUCUUUAUUUUAUGGCUAUAUAUCAGAAACCCUGGAUAGUAAAAUGGGAAUAUGAAAUAAAUGAAAAUACUCAUAAUAAUUUGAAUAUAUACCCCGUUUGGGAAAGUGAAUAUCGAUUCGAUGGUGGGAUAUUUUUAGCAUGGACCAAAAUACUAUAAAACCUAAACGAAUACCUCUUGCUGCUCAUGAUUAUCAAAAUACUCCCAAAAAAUUUGACCCAAAUACUUUCGCCGAAUAUAUAAGACAAAUGUGAAGACAAAACCCUAGAGCAACUAAAGAUGAAUUGGAGAGUCAGUUAUUAAAGAUCAUACAAGAAGAAACCUCAGAAGCCACAUCUCCUUCAUCGGAGCCCAACAAUGACUUCAGCCAAAGACCCGAAGAAGCCCUGCUCAGCCCAGCAAUCUGUAAAGAAUAUCAGCUAUCGUUUUAGACACCUGUCACAUCCUCCUUUCCAGUGAAGCCACCUGUAUAUACAUCCAAAAGAGGUCAACAGAUGGCAUCAGCCGUACGACAGAAGCGACUGAAGUCACUAAUCAAGAUGCCUUCCGUACGAUAUGGCAGACACAAGUUAUUGUUUUUAGUCAUGUCAUGUACAAAAGUUACUUUUGCUUUUUCUUUUAGUCAUGUCAUGUACAAAAGUUAAUUUUUCUCGUGUCAUGUCUCCUUCACCCCUUAUCUUUAAGUCAUAUAUGACUUUAAAGAUUCCUUUCUUCCAUCUACCAUGCCCGCUCACUUUGCCAGCUCACCACUGCUAGAUUCCUUUAUUCUCUUUAUGUCCUCUUCACUCUUUAUGUCUAAUCAAAACAGCUCCAACUCGACACCUUUGCCUGCUCACUCCUGCCUAUAAAACCCUCUCUUCUCAUUUACUUGAGGCAUCGGGAACUUUCACCUAUUCCCCCUCUUUUAAAGCUCCGCCUGCUCUCUCUUGUUUCAUAAGCUCUGCCUGUUUUCUCUCUCUCUAUUCAGAAAGGCUUCAUUACUCUCUACCUGAUCACAUUCCGCUUGACUUCUGCGAAACCUUCAGGCAAGCCUUUCUCAAGUAAGAUCUUUUCAUUACCUUUUAUUUUAUUUUACAGCAAUGUGUGACUGUAAUAUACAUAAGUUACCAUCGUUCUGUCCUGACGAAUGGCAACACUUUUCAAGUUUUUGCCUUUGUAAAUUGUAAGUUGUAUACCGUCUGUAUUCAGUUUCAAUCUGUCUGUACUUUGUAUCAAUAUGUACUUUGUUUGAAUCUGUAUCAAUAAAGAUUGUUCAUAUUAUGCAGUUUAAAAUAACAGUUAGCGUUAAGAUACUAAAUAAUAAUUAUACCACGUGGAUAAUAUUAGAUAUCUCUGUUAUUUCAUUCAUUAUUAUUCUAUUUAUCUUUUUAUACUACACUUCUCUUCUUAGAUCAUUAUUAAAUUAUAGCACUAUGUUCUCUAUGUUACUGAGAUAACUUUAGAAUUUAAGAAUUUGAGACGAAAUAAGAUCUUGGAGUCUAUUUGGUAUUAGAGCCAUUAGAAAUUCUUAAAUUAUUUACUGUUAGACUACUUUUAGCCAAUAAUAGUGUUUAUGAGAUAAGAUUGAGAUAAUAUAUAUAUAUAUAUAUAUAUAUGAGAUGAAAGAAGAAAGAAUGCGUGUGGGGCAAGACCUCCCUUUAGAGAGGAAAGACCUUCCGAUAGAUAUGCAUCCUUCCUAUGGAGAAAAUCUCUUAGAGAAAAGACAACUUCUGAUGGAGAGGCCUCUUUCCCAUGGAGAAAACACUACUAUGGAGCGUCUUUUAGGCAAGGCCUCCCUUGUGCCUCAUUUUAUUGUAGUGAAGCAAUUUUCAUGCAGAUUUUGGGUCUUUUAGUGAGAGAAAGUCUCGGUUGUAGAGAUUGGGAUGCUGGUUAUUUCUAGAAAAGCAAUUCCCAUGCAAAUUUUUAGUCUUUUAGUGAGAGAAAGUAGCGGUAGAGAGCUCGGUUGCUCUCAAGGUUGUAGAGGUUGAGAUGCUGGUUUUUUUUAUAGAGAAAUGGUUCCCAUGUAGAUUUUGGGUCUCUUAGUGAGAAAAAAUCUCAGUUGCUCUCAAGGAUGACAAUAGAAUAUAGAUGGGUCUUCUCUUGAACAAAUUUUGGGUGGUUUCCCUUUUUAGUGAGAGAAAGUUCUUUUUUAAUGAGAGAAAUUCUUGAUUACUCGACUCUCAAGGUUGACAGUAAUUUAGUUUUGGAAUAGAGAUAUGUCUCUUCCUGGAUAGUGGUUGUGCUAUGGAAUAGGGACAGUCUCUUCCUGAACAUUCCUAGACAGUGGUUUAGCAGUGGAAUGAUUUUAGGUUCCUGAACUUUCCUGGAUAAUUGUUUAGCUGUGGAAUGAUUUUGGGUUGCCACCCCUUUUAUUGAGAAAAAGUCUCCCCUUUUAGUGAGAGAAAGUCUCGGUUACUCGGUUCUUAAAGUUGACAGUGGUUUAGCAAUGGAAUAGAGACUGGUCUAGAGAUAGUAUCUUCCUGGACAGUGGUUUAGCUGUAGAAUAAAAGCGGUCUCUUCUUGGACAACGAUUUAGCUAUGAAAUAGAGAUAGGUCUCUUCUUGAAUAGUGGAUUAAUUAUGGAAUAGAGAUGGGUCUCUUCUUGGACAGUGGUUUAGCUGUGGAAUAGAGAUUGUCGGGGAUACCGGUUGAGAGAGCAAGUCUAAAAGGGUUUUGCUCAAUUGGAUUUUGUCGAGGGUUAAAGAUGUAACUAUAUGUCCCAAAAUAUUUGAUAUAAUUUUCAUUUGGCAUUGAUAUAGUGGAUUUCAAUUUGCGAUGCCUGUGGAUAUUUUCUUUCAGGGUGAACCACGUAAAUCUAUCUUUGAUGUAACUUUCAUUAGCAUUGGUAUAAUGGAUUUCAGUUUGUAGUGCCUGUGGAUGUAGCCCUUCUAGCUGAACCACAUAAAUCUUUAUGUUCUUGUGGCAUGUGUGUUUGAUGCUUUAUUUCUGGUAUGCAUUAUUUCUCAUAUUAUAACUCAUACUCUCGCUUAUUUUAUUUCUAGCUAGAGUAGUCUCACCUAUUUUAGUUCUAAUUGGUAUGCUUUAUUUCUUGUAUCAUGAUUCGUACUCUCACCUAUUUUAUUUUUUAGCUGGACUACACUUGCCUAUUUUAUUUCUAACAGGAUUUUCUAGCAGGAGUACUCUAGCCUAUUUAAUUUCUAGAUAGAAAGUAAACGAUCUUGAUGGAUCUAACUUUUUAGGAUUCGUCUUUCCACAUCUAAAAGGGUUAUUAAAUCCUAACAUAUAAGGGGCGAAUUGAAGUGGCCAGACAACUUGAAUGAAGUGGUUAGACAACUUAAAUCUAAAGUUGAGGUAAUUUGGAAGAUCCAACUUUUGAGUUUUCUCUUUCUGCAUCUAAGAAGGUUAUUAAAUCCUAAGUUAUAUGGGGCAAAUUGGAGUGGUCAGACAACUUAAAUAUGAAGUUGGGGUAAUUUGGAAAAAAAAAAACAAUUAAAAUAGGUAUGCGGGUAAUAUUUCUAACUAGUAGAAGGUUUUAGUAAUGAGGAGUAAUCAAAAGGGGUAUGGACAUAAUUUUCUCUUAAAAAAAGCAUAAUUGGAAUCAAAAGGGGUACGGACAUCAUUUUCUCUUAAAAGAAAGUAUAAUUGUGAUGAUAUGUGAAGAAUUAAGAUAAAUAGUCAAAAUAUAUUUGAAAUAAACUGUUUUAAACUUUAAAAAAAUCUAUUUUUAUCUUUCAUUGAUCGCGCGUAUUGAUAUGAUCUAUCUCUAACAACAUGGAUUAUGGAUGAGAUUGUGAGGUGCUCCAGCACUAGAACCCCAUCUGCAUAAAUAAGCUCAGUAAGCUCCUACCUCCAAGGUUUGGGACGGGGAAAGAUUGAAGGAAAAGUGCACAAUUGCCCUUCAACGGUUGACAUUUAAUCUGGGAAGAUUUAAGGGCUACAAAUUGAUUUUAUUUUUUUGUGUUUAUAUUUGCAAAUUAUCUUAUAGCAAAAUUGAGUAUCACGUUCAGUUUUAUAGGACGUAUCUAAUUGAAAAAUAAGAAAAAAGAAAAAGGAAAUUAAACAAAAGAAUGACUGAAAUAUCCCUAACUGUUGAGGGGUAUUGUAGUUAAUUUUCAUUGAGAUUAUAUUUUUUAAUUUUGGGCACGUGUACUACGAUCCUGCAGGACUAUACUGUGCUUUAUUCCCUCACCCAAACACCUAUUUAGGAAGAUUUUCAAAGUCUAAAAUUUUGUGAACUGCAUAAUAAUUACUAGAUGAUUAUUUUCAAAAGAAAAAAAUUGAAUUUUGAGUUUUGUGACUCUUAGAUCUAACCCUUCAAAGGAUGGUAUUAAUUCAAUCUUGAGGCACUAGUUGUUUUUAGCACCUAGGGAGUUUAUAUGGAUUUUUUUUAUAAUUAAGAUUAGUUUAUGAGUUGUGGAGAUCACAUCCCCAAAAUUUGAGAUCUAAAAAAUAUUCAUAGCAUGUGUUUUCUCCAAGGGACUGAAUGGAUAGUAUACUCCUAAGCGAGAAUGGAUGUCAUUUGGGUUUAAUUUUUAAAGAGGUGCAUGAUUUUUAAAUGUAUGAGGAUGCCGCAAUUGUCUGAGUGAAAAAUAUUUGCAAUUGAAUAAAGUACAAAGGGAAAGUAUCUCCAUACUUUCUACUUUUAGGUUUUAUUUCACAAUAGAUCUAAGGUUUUAAAAGAUAUAUUGAGGUAUAAAAAUUAUAGAUUUUAUUUCUUCUAAUCCACUGAACUAAUUCAAACAUGUUUUUUUAGGCCAAACAAAUCUAAAAGGGAAAAGUUUAUAUAGAGCCGAGGCUCUAAACAAUCAAAUUUGAGCCUACCUAAAAAUUACCCUGGAAGACAUUGUUUUCAUGCUCAAAUAUCCUCAAAUUCAUUGUCUCGACAUCAAGAUGCAUGGGUAUGAGAAAAAAUUGGAUUUCAAGUUUUAAAAAUUAUGUAUUUUGUAAUACAGUUUUGGACCGUCAAUUUUUAAGAUUUUCAAGUUUUCAUAGACCUAUUGAUCUACACUAUUUUUGAAGCUUUAAACUUUAUAAAUAAACAUGAAAAUAUAUUUGAUGGCUAUCACAAAUAUUUUCAAUAUUGAAACUAUAUUUCUCGACACUAUUAAAAGGUAGCCUCUAAUUUGAUUGUUUAGAGUUUAAGCUAUGUACAAACCACACCCAAUUUAAAAAGACAUGUCUUUCCUAUAAGAAACGUACAAAGCAAACUUCCUAGCAUCCUAAGUUUUUUGAAAAGGGACAAAGCGAAUUUUGCGUUCUCUUUUCUAAAAGAAAUGAAACCUAAAAUUAAAUUAUAUGAAGAUAUUUUCUUUAAAAAAUUCAAUUUCUAAACUUAUAAUAAGCCAAAUUCUAUGUGAGCCAUUAAAAAGGAUUCAAGCGUCCACUUCACGUGGUCAAUUUAUAUGGUGCACAAUCCAGACACCGUGUCAUCAAUUAACCGGCACCGGCUGUGAUAUUUGCACAUCGUACACAUAUUUGUCCACGCUCACGUUAGUGUAUCAUUCAUUCGGAUCGGAGAAUCAGCCGUUUCGGCCUUCCAAAAAAUUUAUGUAGUUAUUAAAAAUAUCUAAAAAUAUUAUUUUUUGAAGGUGAAAUCUUUUUUGAGAAGUUACAUUGUGUACUUUAACUAUUUGUAAAAAUAUAUGAAUAUUGAGACAUUGUUUCUCUAUUUGAAUAUAUGGAUAAUUAUUAAUCAUAAUAUAAUAUUAUAAUAUUGCAUCAAAUGAUUCAAAAAAUUAAAAAACACUUCUAUAUUAUAAAAUUAAAAAUAAUAAUAUCUCUAAUAAAAUGAUACUAGUAUCACUUCAAAAUAUUUAUUGAUUAUCUUUACUCAUCUAAAAUUAUCACAACAUAACUAACUAUAAUAUUAUACACUGAAAAUAGAAGUAUUGAUUUACAUUUUAUAAUUAUUUUAUAAUUCAAAUGAUAAUAAUUUUAAAAUUUGUUUUACAAUGUCAUUUCAUUUAAAAAAUCUUAUUUACAACUAUAAAAAAAAAAAUACAUUGUAUUAUUUUUAAUGCAAAUAAAUUAAAUAAAAUAUAAGAUUUGGUUAUCAAUCAUAAUUAUUAAUUAUAAUAUUAUAAUAAACAUGAUUCAAAAAAUAUUAUAAAACAUUUUCAUAAAAGACUCAACCUUUUUUCGCAAGAAAUGGACGUUUCAAGGAGGGUAUUCAGCCUAUAAUCAAUGUAGCUAAUCCAUUGCUUCAAGUAUUUUUUGUUUGAAUGAGCCUUUUUCUUUUUUUUAUAAAUUCAUUGAAGAGUUUGUGAAUUCCUUUCAUAGCUCCAAUCCGGGAAAAGCACUUGAGAGAAAGGGACAAAAUGAAAUUCCCGGCAUCGUAAAUUCUUAGAAGCUAACAUUAUUAUAAAGGAAAAAGUUUAUAUAGAGCAGAGGCUCUAAACAAUCCAAUUAAAUCUCAUUUCAAAAAUUUCACUAGAAGAAGUUGUUUUGAUGCCUAAAUAUCCUCAAAUUGAUCAUCUCGACAUCAAGAUUCAUAGACAUGAGAAAAAAAUGGAUUUCAAAAUUUGGAAUUAUUGCACAUCAAAUUUUCCAGAUUUUCAAGUUUUCAUAGAUCUGCUCGAUCUAUACUAUUUUUGAAGCUUUAAAUUUUAUAAUUAAAAAUAAAAAUAUAUUUUAAAGCUAUCACAAAGAAUUCCAUUAUUGAAAUCAUAUUUCUCUAUACGAUUUAAAAGUGCACUUUAGUUGGAUUGUUUAUAGCCUCAGCCUCUAUAAAAACCUCACCCUAUUAUAUUUAUAAUAGAACGUAACUACAGCUAGUCUAAGAGCCUCCCAUGCAUGAGGAGUGUAUUGUCUUGGUUCUUUAUGGGUGGUACCCGCAAUGGUGGGCCCAAGGGGUAUUUUAUAAAGUAUCUACUAGGCGUCAAUUUUUUAAGAAAUAAAACUUGAAGACCAUGGAACCCCAUUUCACUACGAUAGGAUGGUUACGGAUUAGACGAUUCUGAUUUGAAUCGGUGAUAUUUUAAAUUUUGGUUUGGAACUCCUUUUUUUUUUUUAUGUAAGUCGAUGUAUAUAAGUCAAUGGGGGAGAAGCCCCCCUACCCAUUUUUUAUUAAUAUGUAAAAAUAAUGAUGAUUACACCUUAUUCCAUAACAACCAUGGAAUAGGGCACCUAUGACAAAUCAUGAAGUAAAGCAAGAGAAAUAAAGUCAGGUGGACGUGAACGCCAAAUGGUAGCUUGUAAAAGAGAUGUGGCAUUCUUUGCAAGAAUAUCGGCCACCAUGUUGACUUCAUAAAAAAUACGAAAAAUGGACCACCUACGAUUUGAAAGAUGUUGCCUACAAUUUACUGCAAUCGUAUAUAACUUCAAAAGAGACCAACAAUGUUCAUGAAUAACAUUAAUGAGUAAAGCUGAGUCACUUUGAAUUUGAAGAGGAAAAUUACUUUAGCUGAAUGGCUAGAACCAAAUCUUCUUCAAGAGCGGAGAAUUCCGCAUAAUUAUUGGAAGCAAUUCCAAAAGGUUUUGAGAACGUCGCAAUAAAAGCAUCAUCACGAUCUCUAAUAACACCACCCACACCUGUUGAACCUACGUUAUGCAAGGAGACCCCAUCAAUGUUUAACUUGAAAUGAUUAGGGCUAGGAAAUGACCAAUCCGCCAAGACAACCAACUAAUCCCUCUGUUGAUUCCAAUUGACUUGUAGAUUAUCAAUAAUUGCUUUUUCUAAGACAUGAAAUGCCCAGGUUUAGCAUCAGCUACCUCUCGAACAUGAGAAAUGAUCUGUCAAAGCAAUUAUUCCCUCCUGAUUAAUCUUGAUUGGAAAACUCUUUUAUUGUGCUCCGCCCAUAAAACCCAAACAGUUGUGAAGAAUAGAGUCAAACAUUGAAAAAACCAUUGGAUUUGAAUAUGAAAGAUAACCAACUUCUCAACAUAUUGAGAAUAGAAGAUCCAGAAAUAAAGCAUUGACCGCAAUGCUAUACUAGAGAUCUCCAUAUUGCCUGCGAGAAAUCUCAAAGGAAUAGUGAAUCAAUGGUUUUGAUUGGUGAAUCGGACCUAUUCUCUGGUGUGAGCAUAAGUCCAUAAAAACAAAAAGAAAAAUAGAAAAUAAUAAUAAAAAUAUAAUGUGUGGAAUCGGGCAAUCUGGUUGGUCUAGAUCGAGUUCCUGAUGGACACACCUGGUUCUCUAAUGGAACCUAGCGAGUCCAUAAGAACUGGAUUGACUAUCGACAAUGACAAGGAACUAGUUUUAGCGGUGGGAAUUGGUCGAGUUGGGUCCCCAGACCUAGUUCAGGUCUGGGUAAGGUCCAAGUCAAUUGGACCCAAAACCAAUCCACAUGGUCAUUAGGAAAACGAAAAAAGAUAAAUAUUAUUUAGUCAAUAAAAAAAAAAGAAGGAAUAGAGUUAAACAUCCUUUUUUUAUAUAGAAAUAGGACCUACACCCUUAUCUCCAAAAUUAUCAUCCAAAAUACGCCCCUAGCCAAUAAAAACCCAUAAAACCACUUUAAAUUAAAUGAAUAAGAUAUUUAACACCCUCCUUAUCUAUUUUAUUGUCCACAUUACUGUAUGUCUUUUUAAUUGGCCUCAUCAUAUAAAUGGAGUUUGUGAUGCAUCUUUUAACAUACUUGUGAGGUUCACGAGAUGAGAGAAAGAGACAUGUUUUUCAUAGAAAGUUGUUAAAGAGAUAGGGAGGUAGAGGUUCACAAGUGAGGAAGUGAGAGCAUUUCCAAGGUUCACAUUAAUUGGUGAUUAAAAAAAAAUAGAAGUAAAUAUUGUAAUUUGGACAAUAGAAAAAGUAAGAAGAGGCUUAAACAUCUUGUUUUUGAUAUCAUGAGUAGCUCAUGAUAAAUCAUAAAUAUGGAUAUCAUGAGUAGGUCAUGAUAAAUCAUAAGUAUGGAUAUCAUGAGUAGGUCAUGAUAAAUCAUAAGUAUGGAUUUAUUGCAAAAUAAUUGUAUUUGUAGAUGUUUUUAGCAGCCAAAAGCCUAAGCAAAGAUAGUGCCCUAAAGCCAAAUUAUAAGGACCCUAAAUUCAUACUCUCUUUCCCUUUGUGGUAUUUUAACAAAGGGUGUGAUUUGCAUCAGGUUGCAAACUUAAACAAUCAAAUUAAGGCGCACCAACAAGUUUUAUCCUAAGAUAUAAUUUUAGUUUAAAAAAUUCUUAGAAUGGCAUGAGAAUCAAUUUUCAUCUCUAAUUAUAAUAUUUUAAACUCUAAAAAUGUUUCAAAUCAAGUAGAUCUAUAAACACAUAGAAAUCUUCAAAAAAUAGAUGGCCCAAAUAAUAUGUUGCAAGAUGCACUAUUUUUUCAGGCUCAAAUUUUUUUCCUUUUUCUUUUUGUCAUAUUCAAUACAUCUUGAUGUCAAGAUGAUAACUCAAAAUUUUUUCAAUAUCAUAAUAACUUUUUUCGAUAUAUUUUUUAGGAGCACCUUAAUUCUACAUUUUAAUGUUGCAACCCGAUAUAAAUUUUUACCUUUAACAAAUGGUUUAAAUAUAGAGAUUGUAUACAAUGAGACCAUUUACCUUUGGUAUAUGAAGGUCACACUUACUUACAACAAUCCAAUGUAAAAUCUGAUAAUUUGGGUGUGUCACAAAGUUUCGAAAAUUUUUUUGUUGAACUUUGAACUUGGUCAAUGAAAUAAAUGCAGCCACCCAAUUUCACAUCCAAUGGUUCAGAAUAACUGUGAUUACUUUGUACCAAAGGUAAAUAGUCUCAUUAUAUGCUUUUUAAUAGUCUCAUUAUAUACUUUCCCUUAAAACUAACAUGGACUUUAUUCCCUCACAUCCAUAUGCGUCUCUAGCCAAAUGCCCAUGGUGGUAAAAGCGAGAGAGAGAAAGAGAGAUAUUUUUUGAGCUUGAAAACAAUCUAAACUUUAUCAUUUUCCUUUUUCUUUCUGCUCUUUGAUCUUUGUAUCAAUUAUCAAGCUAGCCGAAAGAUUAUGCGCUCAUGUUUAUGAUGUCAUCUAGGAGUAUGUUUAAGACCUUAAAAUUUAUGGAAAAAUUAUAUUCUACUUACAAAAAAAAUCUCAUUUUACUUGGGGAAAAUCAUGGAUUCCUGAAAUGUAUUUUAUAGAGAUUCAACUCUCCAAUAUUUUUUGUAUCACACUCGUAACCCAAUUACUGUUUUUCUUUGCUUUAAACCCCCAAGUAAAAAAUUUGUAACUUUUAUAAUGAACCUACCCUUUUUAGUACACAUUUCCUCACGUUUCUGUCGACUCACAUGAACACGGCUCGAAGAAAAAAUGGGAGAGCAAGCAAAAAUUCAUAGUGGGAGUGAACUAAUAAUAAAUAAAUAAAAAUGUAAUUUUUGUAUAUAUUUCAUUUGUCAUUUAUUGUCAUUGUAUAUUUGUGAAGGGAUAGUUUGGAUUACACUAAAUAUAUAUUGUAUAUAAACUAUUUUAGGAUUUUAUUAUUGUCAAUGAGAAUUGGCCCCACGUUCCAUUUCUCUCUCUAUCACUCUCUUUCAUCUUUGCUUCUCGAAAUCUAUCAUGGUAUCAGAGCUCUAAAGAUCCGAUUAUUUCUUUGCCCGCUACUGUUCAUGCAAGUUAUUCAUUAAUUCUUUACCCCUAGUUGAACUUUACUUAGAGGCAUAAAAUUUUAUUUUGUGUCCAUGAUAGGAAAUUGACUUAUUCUCGAUAUUUUUCCAAUUUAUUUGUGAUCCAAGUAAUUUUAGAGGUUUCCUUAAAAAAAAAAAAAAUUGAGAGCAUUUACUUCAAAUAUCCUAUCCCCUCAUGGAAUCCAAGAAUAGUACAAAAACUGCUACUAUGUCUGUGCGUCUUGAUGGGAAGAACUACGGAUUGUAGUCAUUCUAGAUGCGACGCUUUCUUAUAGGAAGAAAGUUAUGGGGUUAUGUUGAUGGAUCUAUACGCCAACCUACAGCUGAGAAUGGGCCCAAUGAUUGGUUUGCUAUUGAUAUUUAUAUUAUUACAUGGAUCAUGAAUUCAAUUGAGAAUAAAAUUGGGUGCAACCUCCUAUAGCAACCUAAUGCCAAAGCCAUGUGCGAUUAUUGCGCAACCUCCUAUAUCAACCUAAUGCCAAAGCCAUGUGCGAUUAUUUGAAGAAGAUUUACUCUCAAUAAAAAAUGGCUCGCCUCUAUAUGCGUAAAAAUGAAAGCUUGAAAACACAACAAAGGGAUUCAUCUGUCCAUGACUAUUUCAAUUCCCUUUCAGGCAUAGUGAAUGAGAUGGACUUGAUGAAGACUGAAUCACAUGACAAGGCAGUUACUAAAUCUAGAAAUCAAGCUCGUUUAUUUCAUUUUCUAAUGGGGCUGCGAUCAAAUUUUGAAAAUAUGAGAGCACUCUCCUUGUUGAGGUCACUCGCUUAGGUUAUCAUUGGAUUUGCAAAUCUAAUUCACCAGAUAUUACUGAUGUGGCUUUAGCUAUAUCCAAUGGCUCUAACAAGGAUUUCAACUACGAUCAAGUACUAUGUAAUACAUGUAGACAAAAAGGACACAUAAUUGCACAUUGUAAGAAGCAAAUUUUUUGCAAUUAUUACAAAAAGAUUGGCCAUAUAAUUGCUUAUUGUUAAAAAAGGCCUCACGCUCGUGGAAAGGCUUCUACAAGUGGUUCUACUCAAUUAGCUGCAUUGGCCUUUAUUCCUAGUUCAACCAACAUGGACGAAGUUGUUUCUAUUGACUCCCACUCUACAUCUACACCCACAUCAUCUAUAGUUCCUGUACUCUUUUCAGAGUUUCCCUCUGUUAACUCAAAUACACUUCAACAGCUUACUCAUGCCUUACCUGCCUUGGGUUUUUCAGGUAAUUCAAAUGCUCUUUCAAAUACUUGGAUCAUAGACUCAAAUUCUCUUUCAAGUACUUGGAUCAUAAACGCAAGAAUAUCUAACCAUUUGACAGGACAAAUAUCUCAAUUAUCCUCUGUGACACCUCAUUUCGGUCAAUUGACUUAUUUUACUGCUAAUGAAGACUCUAGAAAUACCAUUAUUCCUGGUCCCUCUGGUGAUUCCUUAUCACUUAAGGAUGUCCGUCAUGUUCCUAACCUUCCUCUCAAUUUGUUAUCUACUUGUCAAUUAGUUGACAAUAAGUGUCUUGUCUCAUUUUCUAAUAAAGGUUGUGUGUUCCAGGAUCAAGCAACAAGGAAGGUGAUUGGGAAAGGCACUAAGAAGGGUCAUCUCUUGACAGUCAACUUCAGCAAGCGCCUUUUCACCUUUCACAGGCCCUAUAUGUUUGCCACAUUUCCCUUUCUUUUCAUGAAAUAUGCCAAUCAAUAUCUCUCUGAUAUGUUUGGCAUUGUAGGUUAAGUCAUCCACACUCUCAAAAAGUGUUAUCCGUUUUGUAUUAUGGGAUGUUAUUUUUCCAAUAAAAAGCUUAAUAAAGAUAUUUUGUGUGAGAGUUGCAAGUUAGCAAAACACUUGGCUCUCCCUUCCCCUCGUAGUAAUAAUAAAAAGUACCAGCCAUUGUUUUUUAGUGUACUCUGAUGUGUGGGGGCGUGCUCCUGUUCCUUCGAUUAGUGAUUUUUCUUAUUAUGUGAGAUUUAUUGAUGAUUCUUCAAAGUACACAAGGGUUUAUUUUCUCAAACACAAAUCAAGUGUGUUUAAUGUUUUUCAAUACUUCCAUAGCAUGAUUAGAAAUCAAUUUAAGAAAAAUAUUAAAGUCUUUAGGUCAGAUUCAAGGGAGGAAUACCUAUCCAAGGAAUUUCAGGCAUAUCUUAGUACAAAUGACAUUUUACAUCAACGUUCAUGCCCUAAUACCCCUGAACAAAAUGAAGGUGUCGAAAGUAAGCAUCAUCAUAUCUUUGAAAACAACUAGUUCUCUUCUUAUAAGCUUUCAUUCUCCUAAUAAUAUGUGGGCUGAAGCAAUCUCCACUGCUGCGUAUCGUGUUAAUCUUCUUCCUACUCCUGUUCUGCACAAUGUUUCACCUUUUCAUAAGUUUUUUCAAAAUUACCCUGAUUACUCACACUUACAAGUGUUGGGUGCACUUGUUUUGUUCUUCUACCCUCUCUUGCACGAGAUAAACUCUCAUCUAAGUCUGUCAAAUACAUGUUUGCGGUAUACAACUAAUCAAAAGGGGUAUCGUUGCUUUGAUCCCACCAUUAAUUGUGUGAGAAUCUCACAACAUGUUUUUUUUUUCUUUUAAAUAUAUCUUUUCAUCAACACUAUUUACACCCUACUACACCCACAUGUCCACCUGAUUUUUUAAUCCUCACUGGAUUCGACAUUCCUAGUCCUCAAGGCUGUAACUCCAAUGAGCCAACUCUUCCUAGUACUGAUCAUCUACCACCUCCAAUUGUUGAUCUACCCAUUGUCUCUCAGCAACUUUGGCAGUCUCUUUGUAAGUUUGUUCCUUCUGAUUGUCUUAACUUGCUAGUGGUUUGCUUAUCUCAUACAUGUUUUCCAACAAGCACUCCUAACCCUUUUUUUCAUGUGUCAUCCUCUUAUUCUCAGGCAUUUAAACUUUAAUGUUGGCACAUGGCCAUGAAUGAGGAAAUCACAGUUUUAGAGGUGAACCACACUUGGGAUUUAGUUCCAUUGCCCCCUAACAAGCAUGUCAUUGGUAGUAAAUGAGUUUAUAAGAUUAAGUUAUGAGCUGAUGACACCCUUGAGCGGCACAAAGCACAAUUAGUUACAGAAGAUUAUACUCAAGAAUAUGGUAAUGAUUAUGAAGAAAAUUUUGCUCCUGUUGCUAAGAUGACUACAAUUCGUACUCUUCUUGCACUAGCAUCAAUUCGUGACUGGCCUAUAUUGGCAGAUGGAUGUUAAAAAUGUUUUUCUUAAUGGAGAGCUUCAAGAUGAAGUUUAUAUGCACCAACCACCUGGAAUUUGUUGUUAUACCUGUGUUUGCUGCUCUAGAUACAUCAUUUCUGUCGACUUCGUAAUGUAAUUUAUGGUCUUAAACAACUUCUUUGUGCAUGGUUUGAGCAUUUUAGGGAUGUCAUUCUUGCAACUGGUUUUAUUCAAAGUAAACAUGAUCACUACAUGUUUAUUCAUACCACAGACAUGACAUUUGUAUUAUCUUACUAUAUAUUGAUGAUAUUCUCAUCUCUUGAGAUGAUUACACUUCCAUCAAAGAUAUGAAGCUACGAUUCCAAAAAGAAUUUCAAAUGAAAGACCUUGGGGAAGUAUCUUACUUCCUUGGCCUUGAGAUCGCUCGUUCUAAACAUGGUAUUUAUAUCCAUCAACAGAAGUAUGCAAUUGAUCUUAUUCCAGUUCCCGAUUGACUGAUGUGAAGGUUGUAGAUACACCCAUGGAGCUUAAUGUUAAAAUUUCUGCGCAUUUUAGAGACCCUCUUCCUGUGCCUACAAUGUAUCGCAAACUCGUAGACUCCCUCAUCCAUCUCACUAUGACAUACCUAGAUAUUAAAUAUGAUGUCUACGUUGUAAGCCAGUUUGUUUUAGAUCCUUGAUGACUACAUCUAUCAACAAUCCAUUGAAUUUUAUGCUAUGUUCAAGGUACUUCCAUUCGUGGAUUAUUUUUUACCUUCACAUCUUUUUUUAGAUCUCAGCGCAUAUGCAGAUGCAGAUUGGACAGGUGAUUCAGACACUUGUCGCUCUACUACAGGAUAUUGUGUAUUUCUUGGAUCCUCCUUGAUAUCAUGGAAGAAUAAGAAACAAGAUAUUGUCUCUAAGUCAAGCACUGAAGCUGAGUAUCGUGCUCUGUCCUUUGUUAUCAGUGAGAUUAUUUGAGUUUGUGCUCUUCUCAAUGAUUUUGGUAUCACUAUUUUCAUAUCCCACACCUUUAUAUGCAAAUAACCAAAGUGCGAUUAAAAUUGCAUCUAAUCCAGUCUUUCAUGAGAGGACAAAGCAUAUUAAUGUGGAUUACCAUUAUGUUUGUGACAUCUAUCUUGAUGGCAUAUUAUCUGUCCAUUAUGCGUGUUCUACUAUACAAACGACUAAUAUUUUGACCAAAUCAGUUACUCGAAAACUCCAUGAUUUUCUCGUGGACAAGAUAAUGCUUUCCUCAUGUCCGCAUCAGCUUGACGGGGUAAUAAUAAAUAAAAUUGCUACCUUUUUUAAUAUUUACGAAGUGGCCUUAGGGAUUAAGGUUAAUUUUGCGAAGUUGGAUGUAGUUGGUAUUAAUUGUGAUGAAUCCUUAUUGGCCUGAAUGGCAACUACCCUAGGUUGCAAAGUAGAGAACUUCCCUAUCUUGUACUUGGGGCUGCCUAUUUUAGAUGGGAGGUUACCUAUGGGUGUAUGGGAUAAAGUAAUCCAAAGAAUUCAAAUUAAACUUGAUUUAUGGAAGUAUAAAGACAUCUCUUUUGGAGGUAGGAUUACCUUGAUUAAAGCUUGCCUCUCAAAUUUAUCGAUCUAUCAAAUGUCCUUGCUGCAGAUUCCUCACAGGGUGGUCAAGAAGAUUGAAACUUUGAUGAGAAACUUUUUGUGGAGCUCUUUCGACAACUCUUAAAAUGUUGCACUUCUUGCGUUGGGAUAGGGUGUGUACCCCUACGAUGGAAGGUGGACUAGGCUUAAGGCGAGUUACUUUGUUUAACUAAGCACUUAUGUCUAAGUGGUGGUGGAGAAGUUUGAUCCUUAAAGACCAGUUGUGGUACAAAGUUGUUGCUGCAAAAUAUGGGGUUGAUCGAUUUCAGAUGUGAUUUGGAGGUAGAAGUGGUACACAGGCGAUGUCUUCUCUCUGGAAGCACAUUCAUUCGUGUAGGGCGCUGAUUCACAAGGAUGUCCGGUGGUCCUUGGGUGAUGGUUGUAGCAUCUCUUUCUAGCACCACAAGUGGGUUGGAGAUGUGCCUUUGAAGCUUCUCUUUCCCGUUGUUUUUCGACGUAUGGUUAACCUCAAUGCUGCUGUCACUACUGUGUUUGUACGCAGGGGUUGCCAGGUGAGUUGGAACAUUUCUCUCCCCUAUAGUAGGAUUCCCGAUGCUGUUUUUCAGGAAUUCGUUGGGCUGCUUAUCCUUCUCCAUCAGGUCUAUGUUCCACAUAAUGCCUCCGACAUAGACAUUUGGAAGAUUCAGUCCGAUGGACAGCACUCAGUUAAGUCCAUGCAUAACCUCUUGUUCUGUGACCACUAGCAUUGGUCGAUGCCUCAGAUUGCCCUAAUCUGGAAAUGGCCUUUCCCUUUAAAGAUACAAGCUUUCCUUUGGCUGGAAGUACAAAAUAAGGUUCUCACUGUUGACAACCUUAUCAAGAGAGGUAAGGUGUUGCCUAAUGUGUACUUAUUGUGUAAAUUGGAUGCUGAAAUAGGGCCACACCUCUUUCUUCAUUGCGCUUUCACUUUUUGAAUCUGGUGCUGGUUUUUGAUGAACUUGGUCUUGCCUUGGUGAUGCCUGCUGAUGUUCUUGGGAUCAUCUCGAUUUUGUCGGCUCCCCUUCCGAAGGCUAGCAUGAUCUUACGGAAGAUGACAAGAUGUGUAAUUCUCUGGGAGGUUUGGAAGGAAAGGAACCGUAUUUCGAUAAUGUCAACCUACCUUUUGCGAAGGUGUUGGACAAUAUUCUUCAUGGGUUGUGGCUCUUCUGCUCUGUGUCGAAGGAUCGAUCCAAUAUGUUGGAAAUUGAUGUCAAGAGGAACCUUUCAAUCCUCUUUCGUCUAAGUGUUUUCAAAAGUAGACCGACGCGUAGAUGGAUGCCCCCCUUGGAGGGAACUUUUAAACUCAAUUUUGACGGAAGCUCUUUGGGAAAUCUUGGUCCGGCUGGCAUUGGAGGUGUUCUAAGAGACUGAAAUGGUACGGUGGUGUUCUCUUAUGCUGGACCCCUUGGGGAUAGAACGGCCAACUAUGCGUAGAUGCAGAGCCUUCUUCAUGGCUUAAAGAUCUUCAUUGAAAGGCAACUAGGCCGGUUCUGUAUUGUGGAGGGGGAUUCACUGAACGUCAUUAAUUGGUGUAAUGGAACUCAUAGACCCCCCUAAGAGCUUAGGUUCACCUUGCUGCAGAUCUGGGAUUUGUCUAGGACUCCUGAUACUUCGUUUGUGCAUGUUUUUCGUGAGGCUAAUGUGCUAGCCUAUCAUUUUGCAAAAGGUAGUUCGACCCUUACGUCUUUUUUAUCUUCAGAUACUGUAAUAUCUUUCUAGCUUUUGAUUAAUACAAGUACCGAAUUUCUCUCAAAAAAAUAAUAAAUAAAAUAAAAUGUAAUUUUGUAUAGCUUUCAUUUGUCCUUUAUUGUCGUUGUAUAUUUACGUAGGGAUAGUUUGGUCUACACUAAAUAUAUAUUGUAUAUAAACCCUCUUAGGGUUUCAUUCUUGGUAACGAGAAUUAGCCCUACAUUUCAUUUCUCUAUCUAUCUCUCCCUUUCAUCUUUGCUUCUCGAAAUCUAUCAUGAACAAGAACACCAAAACUUGAUGGAUAUUUGCGAACUAGGCAUAGAGUCACAAAACCCCAAAAUAUGAGGCUAGUAUUUGGGGCAAUGUGUCGAUGGGGUUCGAGGGUUAUUUCUAGUCAAGGUUAGCAAGUAUACCUUAUGAUCGUUUAACAACUAUGGCAGACUGUUAAGUAUUUCUGAGUACUUCGAAGUAACUAUGAGAAUUAUGUGAAAUGCUAUGGAGCAAGUAUUUGAGAGAACUAUUGUUAGCUCAAGUAUAUCUAAGUAUUACUGUCGCCUUUGCGCGUAGGCUAGGCUUUAAGAUGCCAUAAGCCAAACUCUUUGACCUCGAUGUAUCCCAUAGUGUGUCCAUAGAUAGUUGCAAAUGGAAACCCCUCUUUUUGGUCAUGAUAAAAAAAAAAUGAUGUAUGCACUUAUGGUAGAGAGGGAACCGCACAUCUAAAAGAUUGGGACAAGAUUGCAUGUCCCAAGGGGUCUACAUGUAAUUCACAAUAAUUAGAAUUUGGUCAUCUAUAGUAUUUACUUUGACAAGUUGAGCAUGAACGUCUGUUAGAGAUAGUGGGUUAUAGAUCUUAUUGAAUUAGUUUAAGAAAAAUGGAUUAGGGUUAUGCAACUAGCCGAGUCGAGUGCUUAAUUGUCCGAUUCUAUUUCCUACAUGAUCUUACGUUCUUAAAAUAGUUAUAUUUGAUUGAAAAUUGAUUUAAAUUGAUGAAAUAAUCUUGAACAUGAAUUCUGGUGAUUUUUAGGAAUUUAAUGCAAUCUUAUUGGGGGGAAUUUGGGUUUAAAAAUUUUUCUUUAGGAAAUUUCAUCCUAAGGACAUAACUUCAACAUAGGGCUCAAAUGGCCAAUGGGCCCCACAUCUGACUGGCCAAUGUUGCGCCACAAGGCAAGCAUGUGGCCCACACGCAGAUGACGUUUGAUGACACUAGCCCUUGGUAGAGCGUAGAUAUGUUGUGUUUGGUUGAGCAUUUUAUUUGUAAUAUGUUUAAUUUUGUCUUUGUGACUUUCCUUUUAUUUUUAGCACGGUAUUGUAACUCACACAUAUACACAUUGGUACAUGUGGGUACCAUCUAGGCUUAGAUAUAUAUUUUUUAGUAAUUGGGUUUAUUUGAAUUUAAAAUUUUAAAAUUAAAAAGAAAAUUCCUUUUUUUUUUUGAAAAUUUAAUUUGGAUUAAAGUCGAUAAGGUGGUAAAAUCACAUUCACACAUCAUCAAAUGUAAUUAUGCGAUAUGAGGCUAGGAUUAAAGCCUCUCUCUCACAAUAGCUCACAAAGAUCAAGAUGGGUUCUACACACUCCCUAGAGAACCAUAUAAAACUUCAUUAAUCCUAAACUCUUUCUAACACUAAAUCAUUUUUCUCUAGCCCCCGCAUUGAGAUAAGAGAGGGCUAAGAGAGAGAAGAGAGAAAAGUGGAUGUUCCUCCCUUGGUGAGUCUUACAAGGCCAAGCCAUGUAGCUACAUUGAGUAUGGUGAUAUUGGUAAUCCAUAGCAACCAAAGGAAGUUAUCCUCACAUCGUUUUGAUGCAAAACAAAAUUAAAAAUAAUAGUAAUUAAAUUUUCAUAUUUUGUAAUUUUUUGAGUUUUUUUUUUUUUAGAAUUUAGUUAGGGUGUUGAAGGUAUGAAGUUACACCGAUUUAGUGUGGUUUCUGUAAAAUGGAGCUUGGGGGAGAAGAUGAUGAGGUGGAUGGUAGGUUUGAUUGUUUGGGAGCUUCUAUCAUUCAGGUGAGGAAUGACCUUUCAUCCGGCCUCCUUGCAGGGGCUGGAUUCUCUGUUGUGGGCUCCUUCUCCCUACCAGCUAAUGAUAUUUUUGGUCUGAGUGAUUGGGCUUGGAGGGGAUGGGGUUUAUCUUAUGCUCCGCUUGUUAAAAUUUUGGGAGACAACAAAAUAGCCUUUUUGCUGCUAUCAAAAGAGGAUGCUUUUGUUGCUCUUUCCAAUAGGUUUUUUAGGAUUCGGGGCAAGUUGUUUUCCUUGGAUUUAUGGAAACCUUCUACCCAUCUAUCCUAUAUGCAGAAAGAGAGUCUUUGGAUCAGCCUUUCUGGUAUCCCAUUCCAUGCUUGGACUCUGGAUACAGUCCGAAGAUUGCAAAUUGUUGUGGGGAAUUUUGCGAUGUUGAUAAUGACUCUUUUGUGGGGAUUGAUGUUAGAGUUGUUAGAGUAUGUAUAUGGAAACUCAUAGCGAUGUCUAUCCCCAAAGUUGUAAGACUGGUUGUGGGGCAAGAGUCUUUGCCAUUGGAGUCUCUUCGAUGGCUACAAAAAAGCCACGUAUGCCUAAACCUGUGACAGAGGAAGGAUGGAAGGAGGUUCAUCAUCAUUGACCUCAUGACUAUUUUUUUUUUUUUGGGCAGCUCAAUGGAAUUUUCUGCAGAAGCGUGACCACUGAAAUUUUAUGAUAGGAGUUACGAAUUUUCGAAAUUUGAAAAUUUGGAAAAGAUGGAUACCGGUUGGCCGUUCUGGGAAAUUCCGGCGUCUUAUCCGUCAAACAUUUGUGGUGGUGUGGUGGAUGUUAACCAACAUUCUGGUCGCACGGGCUCACCUUUUUCGAAAGAUCAAAAUCUAAGGAAAAAUCAGUCCGAACUGCAUGCAGUCUUUUCGGCCUAAUUAUCGGGGCUGGUUGGGAAUACCCCCCCGGAUACUUCACCGACGACGGGAUGUGAUCUGCAGGCUAAGGCAUUUCCUCUUUCCUUCUUCUCUGCGGCUGAUUCUGAGAAAGUUCUCUCUCAUAAGAUUGAAAAGGCUAGAAGCCUUUUCCUCCUUUCGGUCCUGGUGGUUGCGAGUCAAUGCAGCCUGUCUUCGGUCUUUGGUGGCCUCCCUGGUGCUUCUAUCGGUGCUCAAAAUUAUGUAUCUUCCUCAUCAUCGUCGGGUGGCUAGGCCAUAUCGAUCCAUUGCGAGUCCCACUUUUGAUCCUCUGUCGGUGGAUCCUUUAGCGAUCGUGUUGGUUGAGGAGAGCUCAGAGCCUCAGUUGCUGGAAGAAGGAGAGUUCGUCCCAAAGACUUUGAUUGUUGCAGCAGACGCUACUUCAGAGGGUAACUUACGUGAAAGACAUGCCUUGGUGCCGGUGGAUGACCAACCUCACCUAAAUGUUAUCCCUAAGGAGACCCGUUUGUUGCUGCUUCACUUUAUGGAUGACAAAUUGGUUAAUUUGGGUCAAGAUGUCAUGGUCGAAGAGAUGGUGACUGACCCGGAGUUGGACAUUAUCAGGACUAUUGUUUCUGACUGUGGUAUGGACUUCAAUGUGUCCAUUGGAGUUGUUUUUCAAGAGAUUGUUGCUAAGAAAAAGGCUGAGAAGAAAGCGAAGGUUGCUGAGUGCAAGGAGCCAUGUGAAGCUUUGGCGAAAACUCAAUCGAUAGGGGCUAAGAUGAAGAAUAAAGGCAAAGUUGUCACUAAAGGAACUAGGUCUUCAGCAAUGUUACAGGCUCGACGUGUUCUUCCUCUGAAUACGGCUACUCGUGGUGUUGUCAUCUCAGAUGACCAGGUGAUUGAUGUAAGUUUUGAUUCUUCGGGUGGUGACGGGAUGCUCGGAGCUAGCCUUGAUGAAGCAAGGAUGUUGGAAAAAGUAUUUUUUGGUGAUAGCAAGGAGGGCCCAGGUUCUUCCUCUGUUAAUCCUUGUUAAAUGAUUGUGAUUUGUUGGAAUGUUAGAGGUCUGGGUGACCUCAAACGAAAAAAGGAUGUUAAGUUUUUGGUUUCAAAAUUCAGACCUUCAGUUCGAAUUUUGCAGGAAACUAAACUUCCCUGCCCUACCUGUAUGGGGCUAGUGAAGUUUGGGGUCCAAGUUCAGUAGAUUUUGUUGGGGUGGCUUCUGUUGGAGCAUCAGGGGGUCUUUGGAUUCUUUGGGAUCCUUCUAUUCUUCGACUAUUUUUUGUACUUGAAAAAACAAACUUUUUGUUAGUUGGUUGUGUGGGGCUUUCUUCUGAUUUUAAAUGGGGUUUGAUGAAUGCUUUUGGUCCUCAAACUUUUGCUGCUAAAGAAGUUUUUGUCAAUGAGAGGUCAGAUGCUCUUAAUUCAGAUGAUUUUUUUAUUUAUUAGUGGGGGGGGGGAUUUCAAUUUUAUUAGAUGGCCGGAUGAAAGUAAUUAUGGUGGGCCGAUUACUGCUGCUAUGCGGUUAUUUAAUAGGUUUAUUGAGGCUUUUGCCUUGAUUGACCUACCAAUUUUGGGCACGGGUUUUAAUUGGACCAAUGGUAGUUCUAUAAAUCUAUCAAUGUCUAAGCUUGAUAGAUUCUUGGUUUCUGGUGAAUGGUUUGAGAACUUCUCUUAGGCUUCGGUUAAAGCUCUACCUCAACUUUCGUCAGAUCACACCUCUAUUAUGUUGUGUUCAAAAGUUAUAUCUAAGGGUCCAACACCUUUUAGAUUUGAAAUAGGUUGGCUUCAUGAGAAAAAAGUGAUAUUGUCAAUAAUACUUGGGAGAAUACUAUCUCCUUUGGAUCUCUUGAUUAUUAACUUCACAAAAAGAUUUUGAAUGUUAAACAUAAUCUGCUUGCUUGGAAAAGAGAUAAGGGCUUUAAUAUUAUAAGCAAAAUUGAGGAAGUUUUCGGUAGACUUGAGAUGUUCUGCUGUCCAAAGUUUUGGGGCUUUAUCAAAUAAGUUUAUUGUUAAAAGACACUCUUAUACUCAGGAGUUACAAGAACUUAGGAGAAUUGAGGAGGUGUAUUGGAAGCAAAGAUCCCAUGUUAGAUGGUUGAAAGAAGGGGAUCUGAAUACUAAGUUUUUCCAUGUGAUUGCCAAUGCCUGCACUCGUCAGAAUGAUAUGUUUGGUCUUGUGAUCAAGGUGUUGAUCCAGAAGAUGAUAGUGGUAUCUCUGAUGUUGUCAUUAAUCAUUUCCAAAAGGCUUUCUCCUUUAAAAUAAAAGCCACCCCCAGGUUGCAUCGGGUGGGUUUUAGAUCUCUUCUUUCUAAUCUAAUUUCUUUCUUGGAAAAAGAUGUCUCUAUGGCUGAAUUAAAAAGAGUAGUAUUCUCCUUGCCAGGUGAUAAAGGUCCUGAUACAGACAGAUAUCCUCUCAUCUUUUUUCAUACCUUUUGGCAUUUAGUUGGAUGUGAACUUUUGGAAAUGGUAAGGGGGUUUCUAAGAAGAGGGGAACUUUUCAAAGGUGUCAACUCCACUCUUAUAGCCAUUAAUCUUAAAAAGUCUGGGAUCGCCUCUCUUUGUGAUAUCAAUCCCAUUAGCCUAUUGAUUAGCCUCUAUAAAAUUGUAUCCAAAGUGCUUGCAGAGAAACUUAAAGUGGUGUUACCAUCUAUCAUUUCUGGCCCCCAGACAACAUUUAUUAACAAUAGGUUAAUCACUGACAAUGUUUUGGGUGCCCAGGAAUGUAUUCAUUCUCGUAUUAUUGACAGUUCUCCCGGAAUUGUGAUCAAGUUGGAUAUAGAAAAGCUCAAGUUGGAUAUAGAAAAAGCUUAUGAUAGAGUGGAAUGAAGUGUUCUGCUAGAGAUAAUGAAGAAUAUGGGGUUUGAGGAAAAAUGGAGGAAUUAGAUGUUUAAAGGUAGCCCUAUGGUUAUUUUAGGGCUUUGAAGGGUCUUUGCCAAGGUGACCCUCUUUCACCAUUUUUAUUCACAAUUUAUGCAGAGUGUUUUAGUUUAUUUGUUCGUAAUAUUGAUUCUAAAGGGAACUUUGCUAGUUUUCAACUUCCAAAUGGGGGACCUUGUAUAUCUCAUCUUCAAUAUGCUGAUGAUACUGUACUAGUUUGCGAUGUUGAGGAGGAACAGGUCACUAAUAUAACCACCUUUUAAAAAUGUUGUGAAGUUGCUUUAGGUCUUAAGGUGAAUUUUGGUAGGACAUCUGUGAUAGGUAUCAAUUGUGAUGAUACGAUAGUGGCUGCUUUGGUAGAGACUAUGGGCUCUAAGGUGGAUCAAUUCCCAAUAUUGUAUCUUGGUAUGCCCAUUUUUUAUCGUCUCUCUAUGGCAAUGAGGGAUAAAAUGAUUCAGUGAAUCUAACUUAAGCUCGAUCUAUGAAAAUACAAAUAUCUCUCUUUGGGGCGAGGAUUACUUUGAUUAAAGCUUGUCUAUCUAAUCUCACUAGUUAUUAAAUGUCUAUUUUGCAGAUCCCCUCUUCGGUGGCUAGAAAGAUUGAGAUGCUUAUGAGAAACUUUCUUCGAGGGACUCAAAAAAAUUCUAUCUUUUUAGAUGGGAUAGGGUAUGUACACAAAAAAGGGAAAGUGGUCCAAGGAUUAGGAAAAUUAAGUUGGUUAAUCAGACUUUACUAUGUAAAUAGUGGUGGAGUCGUCUAAAUUUUAAGGAUCAACUUUGGUACAAAGUGAUUAUCUUAAAGUAUGGCGAUGACAGAUUUAAUAUGUGGACUGAAGGUAAGUUUAGCAAUAGGAGGAUAUCACUUAUUUGGAAAUCUAUCAAUUCGUAUAAGCCUCUUAUCCAUAGAGUUAUCAGAUGGACUGUUGGUGAUGGCAGGAAUAUCUCCUUUUGGCACCAUAAGUGGUUAGAUAAUUCACUCUUAAAUUAUGUAUUCCCUAUGAUUUUCAAUAAGGUUAUUAAUCCCAAUGCCUUGAUCUCCGAUCUUUUUGAGAGGAGGGGGGAUCAGAUUGAGUAGAAGAUCAUCUUACCAUAUAAUAGAAUUCCUGAUGAACUUCUCUUGGAGUUUAGCGGCUUCCUGACUGUGCUUAAUGAGGUAUAUAUUUCCCUGAAUGCAAAAGAUGAUGAGGUGGUUUGGGACAUUUCAAGAGAUGGUCUAUGUACCAUCUUUUGUUUCAGGAUCGAUGGAUGUGGUUGACGCCCAAAAUUGUUGUUAUUUGGAAGUGGUCGAUUCUACUUAAGAUGCAAGCUUUUCUGUGGUUGGCGGUGCAAAAUAAGGUAUUAUCUACAGAUAAUCUCAUUAAAAGGGGAAAAAUCCUGCCAAAUAGAUGUUUACUUUGUAAAAGGGAUGGUGAAUUAAGAGCCCAUUGCUUUCUCCAUUGCCUUUUACUGGUAGUAUUUGCUAGUGGUUUUUUCCUAAGGUUAAAGUGGUGCUGAUUUUACCUCCAGAUGUUAUUGGAAUUAUUGGAGCCUUAUCUGUCUCGUCGCUUCCUAAAACUGGUGCGGUGAUUUGACAAAUAGCAAGAGAGGUUAUUUUAUGGGAAGUUUGAAGGAGAGGAAUAGAAGAGUUUUUUGGGGAUAAGCUCACCUUUUGAUAGAAUUUUUGAUAAAAUUCUUCAUUCUAUUUGGAUGGAUUUGUCUAUUGCAAAGGUGGGGAGAAAUAUUUUGGAAGUGGAUGUUAGAACAAAUUUAUACCAUCUUUUCCAUAUGGGUUACAUGAAGUGUAGCGAAAGAGAGAUGGACUGCUCCACCAUGAGGCAUUUUAAAAUUGAAUUUUGAUGGGAGUUCGCUGGGCAAUCCAUGUCUAGCUAGUUCUGGAGGAGUUCUGAGGGAUUGGGAAGGACGAGUUUUGUUUUCUUAUGCUGGGCAUUUGAGAGAGAAAACCGCUAACCACACUGAGUUUAUGUCUCUCAUACAUGGUUUAAAAUUUCUUGAUGCCGGUUUUUUUGGAUCAACUUGCAUUCUUGAAGGUGACUCCUUCAAUGUUUUCAAUUGGUGUAAGGCGGAGAAGAAAGUACCAUGAGAAUUGCGAUCGGUUUUGCUACAGAUUUUGGAUUUGUCCAAUUCUUUUUCUCUCUCCUUUGUCCAUGUUUACAAGGAGGUUAAUGAUUUGGCUGAUAGUUUAGCAAGAAAUGGUACCUUUCUUAUAGAGAUUUUAGUCUUUGAUUAUGUAAUUUCCUUUUAGAAUCUAAAUAAUAUUUCCUGACUUUAAUAAAAAAAAAUGGGUGUUAAGGUAUGGGCUGGAACCUGUUUUUUAGGGCCUCAGUUUUAAGAUAAGGAUAGUUUGGUAAUAUGAAAUUGGUUAGGAUAAGGUAGCCUGUGGGAUUACAAGAACCAUAAAGGAAAGUUGAAAAAAAAGGAUUUACAAAAUAUGAAGUUAGAGAGAGAGAGAGAGAUACGAAGGGAUGACAAUGGUGGUAUGGGAGUAUUAGAGAUUUGUUUGGGUGAAAUGGGGGUAGAAAAUGGUACAAUUUUAAAAAUUGAAAGCUCAAACUCUUUUUGUUUUUAGGCACACAUGAGCACUAUAUCAAGGCGAUAUUUUCCCCCCCUUUGAUAUAGAAUUUGAUGCAUAUAAGAAAGGCAAUUCAUCCUCGGGAUACAAGAAAACAAAGAUGUCUUUUUCAAUAUUCCUAAAUUAGUUUAGAGACAGAAAGAGACAAAAUGGAGUAGAGAGAGUUAGCCCACUGGUUUUUUUCAUUGGAAUUGCAGAGAAUGGUUCAUUGAGAGAGACGCCAGGGCUGUGAAAAGUAUGUAUCUCGUAUGGGAUAGACUCCCCAUUAAAUAGAGCUAUAAGGUGAUUGCUUAUUAACUAUAGUGAUGGUUACAUGCACUACCAAAAGCUACAAGUUACAUGCAACAUAAACGGUUACAAGUUACAUGCACUUUAACUCUCUUGAUAGCUGUUGUUAUAGCCUCCUUUUGCUUCCAUCUCAUCAAUGGCUAAAUAAUCGUUGGAUACCAUAUGAGUCAGGCUCACAAAAUGACAACGAACUACGAGCCCGACCAAUACUCGGGCGAGGGAUGCCUCAUGUACUGAUACAAGUGUGCAAAGUACAAAGUGUGACAUCAAACGCCCUUGCAGCCAUGCCUUCGAAUGCUUUGCGUGCUCCACACGUGCACUUUCUCUCUUUUUUGUACUUAUAGUAUAUUGCAUGGGAGUACGUGCUCUUAAAUACAACUUAACAAACUCUCUCCUCUUCAGUGUGAAACUCAAACCCACAUCUUUAUCUAUCUACAAAAGCAAUUGAAGAAAGAUUAAUAAAACCAAAGUUGUUUUGAAAUAUACUUAAGUAUUUUUCAAACAAAAAAUACUAAAAGGAAGGAUAUGUUUGUUUGUAUUAAAAGAGGUGUGACCCCUCUUUGAAAGGAGAUUAUUGGCGAUUGAAUAACGAGUUUGAUUUUGUAAUAAGAUCUUCGGUAGACUUCCUUACAGACUCAGAGAUGGUAUAAUCUCUCAAAUGUUUUUUAUUUUAUUUUUAUUUUCUAAUUAUUUUCUCCUUGCAUCAGUUGAAAUCUAAGCAGCUAAGUAUGAUCUUUAUAUGUCCAUUUCUUCAAUAGAUCCAUGCUCCUUUCAUGACUAGAUGACCCACCUUGCUAUCUAGCAUAAUCUCUUCCAUUAUGACAACUUUCUUUUUAUUUUCAUGUGUAUUUCCUGAUGAAAUUUUUUGAAACUUUUCAUCAUGAAUUAGAAGGUAUUUUGAGAUUCUAAUGAGUUUCUUAUGACGUUUGAACCUAUAUUAGUUUAGUGAGCAUGAUAUACAUUUGCUUCCCAAACCUAAGAUCCAUUUGAAAUCAUUAAAAUUGUGCUAUCUAAAGUGAGCAUUCAUGUGGUAUGUAUCUAAGUCUUGACCAUAAACUGGGCAAAUCGAGCAUAUAUUUUGUUUUCCAUUAGUAUGAGGGGAUUGUCUAGAGAAAAGCCAUUUAUCUUUUCCGUAUGGAGAUUACAAUCAUUCUUGUCCCUUAAAUUUCAAAAUGGGUGGUUAUAAGAGUAUCAUUUAACAGACACAAAGUUCCAAAAAUAAAUUCUCAGACGUUGUGACUCACCCCAAGCCAUCCAAUUUGAUAUUUAAUGAGUGUAAACGAUUGUGACAUCUAUGUAGAAAAGAUAAAUGGUCUAUUUAUAAAAAGUCCCUAUUAUAAGACUCUUAUGCUACUAUUGGGUUAAGUCUAGGUAUUUUAAGAGAUUGAAUUUGUUUUUGUUUUGUCCUUUAUGUACUUAAUGUAUCAUUUGACCAAUUUGUAUGUUAGUUGGAAAUUGUGUGUAAGUUGAAUAUGUGUUUAGUCAAUCUCCAAGUUGUGGUUUGAGCUGAACUAGUUUGUGGAUCAAAGUGGAGUGUUAUGUUACGUACUUUGAAGGUAUGUAAGGUGAAAUUAUGUUCACUUACUGUAAAUUUCUUUAAAGAGACAUUAUAUGUCCAUUUACUCAUUGUUAGUAGUCUCCUUGAGGAAAGACCCUGUAAACUCACACCUAUACUUGGACCCAGAUUUGCUGGUUGGGUUAGGUCUGGGUCAAAAGAAAAAUAAAUGUGACUGUCAAUAAAGAGACUAUAUAUCUUUUAUGCAUUGAGGUCACAAUGAUUCACUCAUUAGAUGUCAAAUUGGAUCGCUUGUGGUAAGUCAUAAAGUCGAAACAAUUUUUUUUGUGAACUGUGUCAAUUCAAUGACGCUCCUACAACCACCCAUAUUAAAAUACAAGGGACAAAAAUAUUAGAUGUCUAAUAGGUGGGGAAAGUCACGAAGUCCGAGAAUAUUUGUUUUUUAUUGUAAAUUUAAUGACACUCUUACAACCACCCAUUUUAAAAUUUAAAGGACAAAAAUGAUUGUGACCUCCAUAUACAAGAUAAAUAGUCUCUUUGUAGAUAAUCCCAAAAUAAAUUCUAUUAUAAAUAUUUUAUAUAACAUAUAAAAUAAGAAUGAGGUUUCUAUAAGACCUAGGCUUUACGAAAACAAAAUAAGGCCUCACCUCAAAUUCUCGUCUGGAAAGUACUUUCGAUGAUAGAAAUCUUUAUAAUAGCUCUAAAAUCAAUUUCCAACACUGGCAAUAAAAUUUGUAACUCAAAAAAUGGUACAGAUCUUGUAGAUAUGUGAAUAUUUUUUAUUAAAGAAAAAUAGAUAGUCUAGAUAAUUUGUUACUGUCUUUAGAGCUUCAAAUUCCUUUUUUUUUUUUUUUUUUCAGCCAUAAUGUUUAGGUUAAGAUGAUCGAUGUAAUGGUUUUCCAAUACUUGACUUGAAAUUUUCGAUGAGUUAUGAGGUGAGGAUUUAAUUAUUUUAUCGGGGUUGCAACCCUAUCAAACCAUUUUCCAUAAAACAAUGUUGCAUAUAAACAUAUAAUAUUAUACAUAAGGAAAUGUAUAUAAUGAGACCAUUUACUUUUGAUACAAGGAGGCCACAAUCAUCAUUAACCAUUGGAUUUGAAUUCAGGUGGUUAAAAAUGGGUUAUUAAUUGGACACAAUGUCAAGAUAAAAUUUCUCGAAUGUUGUGACACAUUUUCAUCAUUUCACAUUCAAUGACUAAAAAUGAUUAUGACCUCCUUUAGGCCUAAAAAUGGUUUUGAUUGGGUCUAGAUCCACAGGUUUCCAAAUUCAUAUCCGAAAAGGAUACAUGAGAUUUGAGCCCAAUCGGAUCCAGAAUAUUUAGAUCCAGAUCCAAAUUUAAAAAGUCUACAUGGGAUUUGGAUCCUGACCACAUCGGAUCGAAGAAAAUAUUUUAUAUAUUAUUUUAUAAUAUUAAAUAAUAUAUAACGAAAUAUACUAUACAUAAUAUAUUUAUAUAUAUAAUGAUAUAUAAAUAACUUCCUCUGAUCAAAUCAAAUCCACCUGUACCUGGAUCCAAAUCCGACUUAUCGGAUCCAAAUCCUUGAUCCAUACGCUGAUCCGAAUAAGAUCCAAAAUUUCGGUUUUAGAUCCAAAUUGAGCAAAUUCUCAACCCUAACCUCCUUGUACCAAAAAUAAGUGGUCUCAUAGCAUACAAUCCCUAUAUAUAAAUAUCAAUUUGUACUUAGUAGGGUCAACAUUCAUCUAGAUCCGACACAAAUAGAUAAUCUAGACCUGACCCAAGUCUGAUCCAAGUCAUAUGAACUUGAACCUAACCCACCAAGUCCAAUAUUUGGAUAGGAUCCAUGUGGGGUGUACUUAUGAUUGGGGUUGACCCGUCUUCAUGAUCGACCCGAUCCUAUUGCCGCCCCUAAAAGCACUGUAAGCUAGACAAUAAUGACCUAAAAAUGGGUCAAUAAUGAAUGACUUGAACGAAAGGUGAAUGAAAGAUACCUUGAAAACCUUUGGUCAUAGAAAAUCUAAAUUCAAGUAGGGUUUGAAAUUCGGGUUUUGGAUCCAAACUGAGUAAAUUUUUAACCCUAACCUCCUUGUACCAAAAAUAAAUGACAUCAUAGUAUAUAAUCAUUACAUAUAAAUAUCAGUUUCCCUUUAAUAGGGUCAACAUUCACCAAGAUCUGACCCAAACCGAUAAGCUAGACCUGACCCAAGUUAAAUCCAAGUCAUCUGAACUUCGAUCUAACCCACCAGGUCCAAUAUUUGGAUAGGACCCAUGUGGGGUCUACUUAUCGUUGGGUUGAUCCGUCUUCAGGGUCGACUCGAUCCUAUUGCCACUAGGGGUGAGAACGGAUACGAUCGGGGCCAGAUCCGACCAGAUUUUAAUCGAAUAGUAUACAUCGGAUCCAGGUUCAAACCUGAUCUUGGAUAUUAGGAUCCGGAUCUGGAUCCAGAUUGUAUAUAUACUAUUUUCAAAAAUUUAUAUAUAUAAACAAAAAUUUAGUAUUAAAAAACGACCGGGUUGGAUCCGGAUCGAAUCCACCUGCAUUCGGAUUGAUCUUGAUUUUAAUUUGGAUUUGAUUUUUUAUCCAGAUCCAGAUUUCAAAUCCAAAUUUGGGGUCCAUCCCUGAAUUUGAAUAGGGCCCAAAAUCGGAGUUUCAGAUCCGCAUCGGGUCAAUUCUCACCCCAAAUUGCCACCCCUAAAAGCAAUAUAAGCUAGGACAACUGUAACUUAAAAUAGUGCAAUGACUCAAUAAUGAAUGAUUGGAAGGCGAAUGAAAGAUACCUUGAAAACCUCUAGUCAUAGAAACCCACAGCUAUGUACUUUCUCAGUGUGGCCAAUGCCACUAUUUGUUGGGUUCGGCCCACAUGAGCUCCAUGAUGUGUGUGUAUUUAUAUGUUGUGUGUGUAUUUGUAUGUUGUACGUGUAUUUGUUGGUGCAAAACCCAAUAACAACUUCCGGGGAGUAUAUGGGGCAAAUUGAAGUGCUCGACAAUUUCAAAUUUAAAGAUCUGAAGUUGGGGCAAUUUGUUUAAAAAAAAAAAAAAAACCGACCAUUUUCAUAAUAUUUCAUAAUAAGUAUGAGGGUAAUAUUUCUAACUUAUAGGGGAUUGUAGUAAUAACGAUUAAUCAAAGUAUACAUAUGUAAUUUUCCCUAAUAAUAACGAUUAAUCAAAGGGUACGGAUGUAAUUUUCUCUCAAGAGAAGAAUAAUUGUUAUGUGAUGUGAAGAAUUAAAAUAGAUAGUAAAAAAAGAAAGCAAAAUUUCAAAUAAACUAUUUUAAAACUAAAGAAAACUCGUUUUUAUAUUUCAUUGAUUGCAAGGGUUAAUAUGAUCAACGUAUGAAAUUUAAAGUCCAAAAUCCAUCUCUAACAACAUGGAUUAUGAGCGAGACUGCGAGGUGCUCCAGCACUAGAAACCCGUCUACGUAAAUAAGCUUACUAAGCUCCUAUCUCCAAGGUGUGGGUCUUGAAUAUACAGGGGAAAGAUUGAAUGAAAAGUGCACAGACGCCCUCCCGAUAGCUGAGAUUUAAUCUAUAAAGAUUUGAGGGCUACAAUUUGAUUUGAUUUUUUGGUUUUUAUAUUUUUACAAAUUAUCAUAUACAAAAAUUUAAAAUCAGAUUCAUUUUUAUAAGAUGUACCCAGCAUAAAUAAAUAAAUAAAUAAAUUUAAGCAAAAAUAAUUACUAAAAUACCCUUAAACUGUUUAGGGUAAUCUAGUUAAUUUUCAUUCAAAUUAUAUUGGGCACGUUUUCUAUGUUCCUGCGGGAGUAUAUUGUGCAUCCACUCCCUUGCCCAAACACUUAUUUAUGAAGAUUCUUUAAGUCUAAAAUUUGAAAUUUUGAGUUUUGUGACCCAUAGAUUCAGCCCUUCAAAAUUUACAUGGUCUUGAUUCAAUCUUGAGAUACUAGUUUUUCCUAGCACAUAGAGAUUUAUUUGAGAAAUUUUUUGAAUUGAGAUUAGUUUAUGGGUUGUGGAGAUUACUUCCCAAAAUUUGAGAUCCAACAAAUAUCUAAAUGGUAUAUUCCCACAGGAGUCUUUUGGCUUUAAUUUUUAUAGAGGUGCAUGAUUUUUAGAUGUAUGAGGAUACCGCCAUGUGAAAAGUAUGGAAAAUGGUUUGAUAGGGCUGCAGCCCUAUCAAAACAAGUAAAGCCACCUUAUAAUUCAUCAAAAAUUACAAUUUAAAUAUUGAACAAAUUUUAAAUCAAUCAUCUCAUCUUGAACAUUAUGGUUGUGAGAAAAAUUAGGAUUUCAAUUUCUAAAAUAGUGUGUAUUGCAAUAAAUCAUCUAGACUAUCCAUUUCACCCUAAACAAAAAUGUUAACAUAUCCUCAAAAUCUGUACCAUUUUCUUGAGUUUCAAAUUUUAUUGUCGAUAUUGGAAAUCGAUUUUAGAGCCAUCAUGAAGAUUUUCGAUGCCUAAAGUGCUUUCUGAAUGAGGAUUUGAGAUGAGGCUUUAUUUUGCUUUCAUAAAGCGUAGGCCCUAUAGGAACUUCAUCUGAAAAGUAUUUGCAAUUGAAACAUAAAAAUAAAAAAAUAAAAUCAAUUUCUAAGCUUUGAAAAGCAAAUUGCAUGUGAGCCAUUAGAGGGCUUCAAGGCUCCACAUCACGAGGAUGUUUAGCCAUCCCAAGAUUCAAUUUGUAAGGCGCACAAUGUUGUGUGCGGAAGCUCUAAACCAGAUGGGUUAUUUUUGGCAAAUAAGUUACGAGUAAAAUAGAAUCAACAACAAGUAAGAAAAAUAAAGCACGAAAGAGAUAGUAUAAAAAAGAGCACUAGAUUUUACUUGAUUCAUCCUAAGAGGGCUACAUCCACAAGCACGACAAACUAAAAUCCAAUAUACCAUUGAAAGUUACAUAAAAGAUUUUGGAACGUAGAGUUACCUCUCUAAGCCUCGACAAAACCAAGUCGAGCAAACCAUUUUAAGCCACUUUCUCGCCUGACACCACAUGUCGUUCUUUCUUCUCUUUACUUCUAGCAACCAUUAUCGACAACACCAGAUGGAGACGAAAAAAACAACGAGAAACUGACUUUUUCUCUAACUAAAAAAAGAAAUCACCAAAAAUCUCCAUAAGAAUCGCUUCUCUACAAAAAAUCAGUACCUCAAUCUAAAGGAGUCUGCAGGAGACAUCAUCGUAACGUUUUUCUCCAUAAGAAUCUGUCUUCUCUUUGAAAGGAGGAAGCCCUACUUCUCAAGCACAGGAGACCUUGCCCCUCUCUCUCUCUCUAGAGAAGAAAUAAUAUUUCCCAUAUUGUGAACCAAAUAGGGCACACUUAUUCUUUCCUCUUUCAUCUCAUAUAUAUAUGGUUUGAAAUCUUAUUAAAUAGAAAACUUCAUAUAGAUGUUAGAUAUAUCUAAAAAACCAAUAGAUAUACCCAAGAGUCAUAACAUUUUUUGAAAACUUAUCAAUCUCAAUCCCACAUAAUAUGGGAUUUUUUGAUGUAAAUGACUUUGGCCAACAAUCUCCACCUUUAUAUUAAAAUCAUCCUUUAGAUAGCUUUAUAAAAUCUUCAUCUUUCAUUUCAGAGUUUUAUGUAAAUUUUGUUGCACUAGCAAAUCUCGAACAUGAUUGGCCAAAUUCCAAAACUCUUUUUUUCAUCACCUUUUUGCACCUCGAACUUCGCAUUUGAAACCUUUACUGCCAUACGGAUAACUCCAAACCAGGCUCGGAUACCACUUGUUGUGCGUUGAAGCUCUAAACCCGACGAGUUUAUUUUUGACAAAUAAAGUAUAAUAAAAAUAGAAGUACAAUAAGAAAGAAAAAAUAAAACAUGAAAGAAAUAAUAGAAAAAGAACACCACAAUUUACAAAAUUUCGUCACAUAAGUGACUACAUCCCUAGGUAAAGACGAUCGAUGUUCUCCACUAAAUCAAAGAAAUAAAAUUACAAGGCACGUACUAGAGAGAACUAGAGACACAUAACUCAAUCUUCCACCAAGUCUUAUUCUCUCUAUAAUUCUCUCUAGAAAAUCCUAAAAAGAUUACUUCUAUCUUUUUGACACUUUAUAUCUCUACAAAAUAACCCAUUAUAUAUAGGAAAAAGCAAAGGGCGAUACUGCUCUUUUGGGUUUACUUUUAUCUCUUUUCCACAUUGUUUUCAUAUCUUAAUUUGAGAGAGAGAGAGAGAGAGAGAGAGAGAGAUUUCAGUUGGAUACGAUGAUAUCCAAAAUCACCCACAUAAAGAAAUCCAAUAUUAUGAGGGAUUGCGAUUGAUAUUGAUAAGCUUCCUAAAGGAAAUAGAAAUCCAAAAAUAUUAGGACCCAUGGAUAUAUAUUUAUUGGUUUUUGAGAUAUAUGUAACUGCUAUAAGAAGUUUGCUGAUAAGUAUGGAAUCCUAAUGUCACGACGCCGUCCCCCUGACCCCUACCGUACAUACUGGAGGGCAACAGGGUGCAAAACUGUGAUCGGAGGUAGCGAAUGCCACUCAGGUGGAAGUGCGUUCAAUGCUUUUUAGAAAGUGGAAUCAAAGCAAACCACGAAAGAAAGUAAAAACCAAACACAAAGGUACAAGGAUCUGGACAAAAUUAAACCAACUUGUAUGUACAUGCUUCAAUUUUUAAUUACAAUCAUGUUCAAGGUACUAAAGGCCCAACUACAAAAUGCAAGAUUUCUCACAAAACAACUAUGUGGCCACAGCCACCAGACACCUACUAUUAAGGUAAAGCCUUCACUCGUCAAGCCCAAAACUUCAGCCACCAACCGCCAGUGCCUAGUUGCCCACUCUCAAGGACCGUAGGUUGUCACUCUACACAGAUAAAGAAAAUCAAAGGGAUGAGCUAUAAAGCCCAGUAAGCAGAUCAACAUCAUGAAUUCUGACCGACAAAACGAUAUUCAUAAACAUUGCCCAAAAAUUCAUGCAAGUGUCAAAACAUGGACUCAUGUGUCACAAUUCUUUUAGCAAUGAUGGGAGAAGUGUAAAAUCCGAUAUUAGAGUAUCAUACAUUGCAUGAGCUAACAGUUACUCCAUCAUUAGUCAUAAUAGCAAAUAAGAAUAACAGGCAACGAACCAAAUGCAUACAGGCAGUCCUAGUGUAGCAUACUCCCGAAAUAAAAGUCCCAUCGAUCAGGCUAGGCUAGUCAUGUAACUUGGAACUUCUUUUCUCAUUCAGGAGGGAAGACAAUGACAAAUGGGGGAUCUAUUUCGUAUUAUAUUCACGUGCACACACAAUCCCCAGCGCGCUUUGGGGAUAGGCUGUGGUCUUGCAAGACAUGACCAUCUCUUUAUGCCUUCCAGGUGAGAUGGAGUUACACUACCAAUGGGUGGCCCAAUGCGUAGUGCCCAUAUAGNNNNNNNNNNNNNNNNNNNNNNNNNNNNNNNNNNNNNNNNNNNNNNNNNNNNNNNNNNNNNNNNNNNNNNNNNNNNNNNNNNNNNNNNNNNNNNNNNNNNNNNNNNNNNNNNNNNNNNNNNNNNNNNNNNNNNNNNNNNNNNNNNNNNNNNNNNNNNNNNNNNNNNNNNNNNNNNNNNNNNNNNNNNNNNNNNNNNNNNGCGUAGUCGCCAUAUAGAUCGUGGGGGGGGGGGGGGGCGUCGACCCUCUCAAAUAUUCACAUUCACAUCCCGACUUCAUUCCUAUCAUUGGGGUUGAGGUAAGAUCAUAACUGCCAGCAUCUUAUCUCAUCAGAAUAAAUUGCACUACCAAUAGAUGACCUGUUGCGUAGUGCCUUAUAUCAAAAGUCUUAGAAAUCUCAUAUCAUACUACCAAUGGAUGUCCCAUUGCAUAGUAAUUCAUAUCAUAGGCUUGUCACAACAGAUUCCCACUACUGAUGGAUGUUCCAUUGUGUAGUGGUUCAUAUCACAUGCUUAUCAUAAAUGAUUCCUACUACCAAUGGAUAUCCCAUUGCGUAGUGUUUCAUAUCACAUGCUUAUCACAACAGAUUCCCACUACCAAUAGAUGGUCCAUUGCAUAGUGGUUCAUAUCAUUUUAAAUCAUAAGCAAGCACAUGCAUAACUCAAGCAUUUAUUCACUCAUGCCUAAGCAUGAGCAUUCACUAUAUCCUGAGCAUGCAUAUUCAAUACUUUAUAACAGAAAAUGUUUUUGAUCAUGAAGGCCUCUUAAAAUAUGAUCUAACUUCCCUUCCAUGGGGAUCUUAUUCACAGUCCCAAUAUUAACUUGAAAGUUAACUCAUCCCCCUUUCAUUUAGAAGGUGUUUAGCCUUAAUCAGAGACAUUUUGCUCAAAGAACAGUCUUUCAUAAAACAAGCAACAUUUCUGAAAUUUCUGCAACUGAUAAUAGUAAUAUACCCACACAAAAUGAGGCAUAACUCUCAAUUUAUGAAUAAUUUAGACAUGGUUUUAAAACCAAAUUUGAAGUAGGACACACAUUUAAAUGUGGUUUGAAGUCCUUUGGACAUCGUUUGAUUAGUCAAAAGUUCAGUAUAAAAUGAGUAACAGUUCUGUAAUUUCUGCAACUUAUGACAGUGACAAAUCCACACAAUCUAGAGCAUAUUUCCUAAUUCAUGAGGAAUUUUGUAAUGACCCAAGAUUUUCCCCAAGUAAGAGAGAAGGAAAGGAAAAGACAUACUUGGCGGGAAGAGUGAAGCAGUGCCGGUUGUGAAGAAGAGAUAGAGAGAGAGAGAGAGAGAGAGUCAGCGUCGAUGGUGAAGAGAGAUAGAGAGUCAACGCUGAUUGUGAAGAAGAGAGAGAGAGCCAACACCAGCUGUGAAGAGAGAGAGGGCCAACGUCGGCUAUGAAGAGAGAGAGAGCCAGUGUUGGCUGUGAAGAGAGAGAGCCAACAUCGGCUGUGAAGAGAGAGAGAGAGCCAGUACCGGCGGUGAAGAGAGAGAGAGCCAGCGCCGGUUGUGGAGAGAGAGAGAGAGAAGUGCAACGCCGUGUGUAGCACUACCAUGCAUGGUCAUUGUUUGCCACCUAUCAACUUUAAGCUGCCACCUACCACUUGAGGGAGUAUUUAAGCCCUCUCCCUCUCCUUCACGCAGUUUCCACUCACACUCUCUUAUUUUUUCUUUCUCACUAAAGCUAACUCUCAAGUCCCUUACCCAUUGUUACCCCAUUACUACCCACCAAGGGAAGCUUUAGGAUUCUGUGCAAGAAGGGGUUAGGAGCACCAUUUUCUCAUCAAGUAAGUGGAUAUAGAUGCUGUGUAUCAUUGUCUUAUUCAAGCAUGAAGUGUAGAUUAGUAGAAUGUAGAAAUAUGUGUGUGACUGUGAAGUCUUGGAAUUUAAGUACUUGAAUCCAUGACUAUUUAGUCUAUAAAAAUGGUGAAAAUGUUUACAAAAUCCUCCUGUGAAUCUAGUUUAAGUGAAGUAAGUUUUGAUCGAAUACUAAACUAUAACUUGAAAGAUAUUGUUAUGCUUGUGUAUGUAGUAAAAAUGGGAGAAAGGAAUAAAGAAAUGAAAUUUCUAGGAACUGUGGGUGUCUUUGUAUCAAAUAUUUAGUGACCAAACAGUGUCCAAAUGGGCUCAAAUUGGUCUUGAAUGAAAGAUAUGUUUGUCCACUACAAUUUUUCUUCUUGUAUAAUCUUGAAAUUCUUCAUAUUUUAGGAUUUACAAUCUAAAAUAUAUGACUAUGUCACUAUUAAUAGACAACAGAAAUUCCAGCCACUGUCAUAUACUUUAUACCAAACUUUUGACCAACCAAUCAGUAUCCAAAUACCUCCAAAUCACCGCCAUUUGAACUGUAUAGGUGUCUACUACAAUGUUUAUGUUUAAAUCUUGUUGAAAUUCUUCACGAAUGAGAAGCUAUACUCCAAAAUAUGCUUACAUGUCACUGUUACCAGAUGCUGUGAAGAUUCAGAACUAUCACCUUACAGUGUCAUGAGUUUUGAUUAAUCAAAUGAAGUUCAAUUGUUUCCAAACUACCACUAUUGGAAAGGUCUAUGUGAAUACUUAAAGUUUCAUGUUAAAGAUUUUCUCGAAAAGCUCCCUAGAUUGAGAGUUAUACCCUUUUUAAGGGGAGUAUGUCACUGAUGGCAAAACUUCCCAGAAAUUGUACUUGCUAAGUGUUAAUGUUCUUUAGUGAGUGCCAUGUGAUAUUCAACUAAUGAAUGUGAAUGCUACAUGAUGAGUACCAUGUAAUAUUCAGGUGAUGAAUGUGAAUCCUAUAUAAUGAUUGCCAUGUGAUAUUUAUGUGAUAAGGGUUUUAUGACUAGUGCCACGUGACAAGUGAUAAGUGGUAAGUGCCUAGUGAUAUGUGAUUUAUAGGCAUGCUUUAAGCAUGACCCUUCGAUAAUGAUAAGGUGGUAUAAGUGACACUAUGUACGAGUAGUCCAUGGUAGUGUGAUGGGAUCUAAUACGAAAUUGAUUGCCGACAGUGUUUUCUAAAUCUCUACGAUAGGAGGGGAGUUAGGAUGAGUGUGAAAUGGGAGGGUUGCACCCCCCGAACAAUAUAUGUGAUGCAGAAAGAAAAUAGUGAAUCAUGUCUUGCAAGGCAAGUGCCUAUCUGAAGCCCCAAAGUGUACUGGGGGCUACAUGUGUGAGUGUGAGGGCAGUACCAAAUGAGACACUCAUUGUCAUUGCCCUCUCUCCCGAGUGAUGUUAGAAGUCCUAAACAAUGGGAUUGACAUGACCUGAUGAAUAGGGCUUCUACUUCGGGAAUAGGUGAAUCUAAGGAGUGAGUGGUUAAUGAUUGGAUGUAUGAAUAUGAAUGAUGAUAGUUAUGCUGAUUAUAUGAUAGCCAUGAUAUUCGAUAUGCCAUCCAUGAUGAAUGUAUUUAUAAGAUUGCUAAAUUGAAUAUUUUUCCACCAUGAUUGCUUAUAGCCAAAAGAAUUAUUCAUGAUGCCUGGAUGGAUAUAUCAUUGAUGUAUAGCAACUAGUUCAUCUUACUAGGCUUUAUAACUCAUUCCUCUUUUUCCAUCCCUGUAGAGUAGAAGCUUUAGGUCAAGAACAACUGGUGGGAUCAUCGAUCUGGUCAAUGAAGGCUUGUAUCUUUUGUUUUUAUGUAUUUUGCGGUUGUGGGCCAUGUUUUUGUCGCUUUUGAAGUAAGAUGUUGUGUACCAGGCCAUCGGUGCCUUGAACAAUUGUAUUACUGAAAGUUGUUUAUGUAAUAAUAUAAGUUUCAGUUUUAUUUUACCCAGUCUCUUGUAUGGUUGUGUUUAGAUUGUUUUCUUUAUUUUUGUGGUUUUCUUUAAUUACCUUUUCUCUAAAACGAUGAGCGCACUCCGACCUGAGUGGCAUUCGUUACCUCUAUGAUCACGGUCCCUCAUCCUGUCGCCCUCUGAUGUGCCGUGUAGGGGCCAUGGAGUGGGGUCGUGAAAAAUUUCAAGAUAGUUUCAAAACAAAAUUUGAAGUUGAUACACAUAUCCUUUAUUUAAAAUUACUUUGAAGUCAUUUGAAUACCGUUUGAUCAGUCAAACGUUCAGUACAAAAUGAGUAACACUUCUGUAAUUUCUGCAACUUAUGACAGCGACAUGUCCACACACUCUGGGGCGUAAUUCCUAAUCAAUGAGGAAUUUCAAGAUAGUUUCCAAACAAAAUUUGAAUUAGAGACAUAUAUAUUUUAUUUAAAAGUAGUUUGAAGUCAUUUGGACACCGUUUGAUUAGUCAAAAGUUCAGCACAAAAUGAGUGACAGGUCUGUAAUUUCUGCAACUUAUGACAGUGACAUGUCCACACAUACGAGGGCAUAAUUCCUAGUCCAUGAAAAAUUUCAAGAUAGUUUCAAUUCAAAAUUUGAAAUAUACAUACAUAUAUUUCAUUUAAAAUUGGUUUGAAGUCAUUUGGACACUGUUUGAUCAGUCAAACGUACAGUACAAAAUGAGUGACAGUUCUGUAAUUUCUGCAACUUAUGACAGUGACAUGUCCACACAAUAUGGGGCACAAUUCCUAAUCCAUCAGAAAUUUCAAGAUAGUUUCUAAACCAAAUUUUAAUUAGACACGUCCAUUUUUUAAAUAAAGGAAGUUUGAAGUCAUUUGGACACUGUUUGAUCAAUGAAAAGUUCAUUUAAAAAACGUAUAGAGUUCUUGGAAUUCACAACAAAGCUUUGACAUACAUUAUCGAAUGAUCAAAAACUCCCAAACCAAAAUGGGUAUUAACUUAAGACCUUUUUCAUCUUAAAUUAGAUUCACAUGAGUACUAUUCCACAAAUUUUCAUAACCAUCAAAAGUACUUUCAAAGUUCAACUUAUCAUGCAAAUGAGAGCCUUAAACCUGAAAAAGCAGAGCCCAAAUAAGUACAAGUUUACUAACAGGCAGCCACAUCCCCAUGCUCAUACUGUUCUUAAAUCAAAACUAAGGAGACAUGAGUGUAAGAUCCACUUACCUGUGAUCAAAUGUGUCCCCAAAAUUCCCCAUGCAAGUCAAGCCCCAAGCUUUCCAUUAAUGGCUUUUAAAAGGGGUGGAAGCUCUAAGUGUUGAGAGUGGGUUUCCAAGAGUGGAAGAGAAAAACAAAAGCUUGAGAGAGGAGAGACGGGGCUUAAGUAGCUCAAUAGUGGGAGGUUGCAGCCCGAAAUUGUCAAGUGGCAUUCCCAUCCUCAUGCAAAUGGACAAGUGGCAUGUGUGACAACAUGCAGAGGACAAAUAGCUCAUAUGGGGUAUGCAUGGGCAUAACAUUACACUCACGACGACUGCUCCUCUUCACACACAACGAUUGAUGCUCGAUGCUAACAUUGACGGCAGCUAACACUGAUGGUGGCUGCCACUCAUGGUGGCAGCUCCUCUUCACACAUGGCGGUUGAUGCUCAAUGCUGACACUCACGGCAACUGACACUCACGGUGGUUGAUGCUCAAUGCUGACACUCACGGCGGCUGACACUCAAGGCGGCUGACACUCAAGGUGGCUGACACUCACAACGGCUGCUCUUCUCUCUUCUCCCUCUUACUGUCGUGCGAGUUCUCUUCACUGCCGCGCGUGUCUCCAAGCCCGAAAAUCUGGGUCGUUAACUUCCCCCCCCCCUUAAAAGAUAUUUUAUCCUCAAAAUCACAUCUCCGUUAAUCAAACAAAUGGGGGCACUUAUCCCUGAUCCCAUCUUCUCGCUCUCAGAUCGACUCCUCCCGAGAAUGGUACUACCACAACACUCGGACCAGAGGGAUCUCCUUGUUACACAACACAUAUACCCUUCUAUCCAGUAUCUCAAUUGGCCGCUCAAUGAAAGUCAGAUCUUUUCUGAUCAGAAUUGGCUUAUAAUUCAGAAUAUGUGAUGGGGUUGAUACUUCGUCAAUAGAGAUAUAUGGAAGACAUUGUGGACGUUUGCCAACCCUGGUGGUUGGGGAAGUCGAUACGCCACACUUCCAACUUUUUUCAGGAUCUCAAAAGGUCCAAUAUAAUGGGGGCUCAAAUUUCCUUUCUUAUCGAACCUGAUAAUGCCCUUAGUUUGAGAUACUUUCAAGAAAACCUGAUCCCCCACCUCAAACUCGAGGUCUAUUAUUCGGUUAUCGACAUAACUCUUCUGUCGAGUCUAAGCUAUCUUGAGCCUCUCUUGACUCGAAGAAAUCUUUUCUGAGGUUACUUCAACAAUUUCGAGGCUUAAGAGCUUUCUUUCACCAAUCUCAUUCCAACAAAUGGGUGACCUGCACUUCCUCCUAUACAGGGCUCAAAAGGGACCAUCUAGCUUGGAAGCUGUUUUUAUAGGCGAAUUCAAUCAGAGGUAGAUGAUCAUCCCAGUCCCCUUAAAAUCAAAGACAUGUGCCCUUAACAUAUCUUUCAGGGUCUGAAUGGUUCUCUCUGAUUGUCUAUCAGUCUGGGGGUGAAAGGCAGUGCUAAAAGUAAGUCUCGUCCCCAAGGCUGACUACAGACUAGCCCAAAAUCUAGAGGUGAAUCUAGUGUCCCGGUCGGACACGAUAUUGACUGGUAUUCCGUGCAGCCUUACUAUCUCCCUGAUGUAUAACUAGGAUAGUUUAUCCAAGGUAUAGGUCAUGCGGAUCGGCAAGAAAUGAGCAGCUUUGGUCAGCUAGUCCACAACGACUUAAAUACUAUUAUGUCCAGAAUUUGUCCUUGACAAACCAGAGACAAAGUCCAUAGCAAUGUGCUCCCAUUUCCAUUCUGGCAUGGGCAAGGGUUGCAGCAAUCCGACAGGCUUCUGAUGCUCAGCCUUCACUUGCUGGAAUGUGAAGCACCUAGAAACAAACACUGUUAUUUCUCCUUCAUGUCAAUCCACCAGAAGGUUCUCUUUAGAUCUUGAUACAUUUUGUGCUCUCUAGGUGCACAACAUAACGAGAAUGGUGCCGUUCUUCUAAAAUAGCCUUCUUCACAUCUUCGUCAUUAAGAACACAGACCUGAUCCCUGAAUCUUAACAAGUCAUCACCACUUACAGAGAAAUCAUCUUUUCUUUCCGGUUUUAUUUCUUCCAAAAUUUUCAUGAGCUGGAUAUCCUUCUUUUGUGCCAUUCGGAUCUGUUGAAAGAUUUGGGGCUCCAUCCUUAUGCAAGCGGCCAUACUUACCUCAUCACCAAGGGGAAGAGCUGAGUGCCAUUCCACCGCAUCUUCUAACAAUCUUAUCUCUCGAAUCAUUAAAUGUGUCACUGAUCCCAUGGGCUUCCUGCUCAGAGCAUCUGCUACUACAUUAGUCUUGCUUGGGUAGUAAUUGGUGGUACAAUCAUAAUCGUUCAAUAGAUCCAUCCAUCUCUUUUGCCACAUGUUCAACUCCUUCUGGGAAAACAGGUAUUUUAGGCUCUUAUCAUCAGUAAAUACCUUAAAUUGGGCUCCAUAGAGGUAGUAUCUUUAGAUUUUCAAGGCGAAUACUACAGCCGUAAGCUCCAAUUCAUGAGUUAGAUAAUUUUGCUCAUAUAUCUUUAACUGUCUGAAGGCAUAAGCAAUAACCUUUCCUCUCUGUAUAAGCACACACCCGAGCCCUUUAUGAGAAUCAUCGGUGUAGACCACAAAGUCCUCAUUUCCUUCGGGCAAGGUUAGUAUCGGAGCCAUAGUCAGUUUCUUCUUUAGUUCUUGAAAACUUUUCUCGCAAUCAUCUGACCACACAAACCUUACCUCAUUCUGGGUUAAGUGAGUAAGGGGAAAUGCUUUGAAAAUCCUUCUAAAAAGCGUCUAUAAUAACCUUCUAAUCCAAGAAAACUGCGGACCUUUGUCACAUUCGUUUGUCUUCCCCACUUAAGUACAACUUCAAUCUUACAAGGGUUAACCUCGACUCCAUCCUUAAAAACAAUGUGCCCCAGGAAGGCCACGCUAGGAAGCCAAAACUCACUCUUGCUAAACUUAGCAUACAACAUUUUUGAAUUCAGAGUCUGAAGGACCAUUCUUAGAUGUUGAUCAUGCUCUUCUAGGUUCUUCGAAUACACCAAAAUAUCAUCUAUAAAUACCACAACAAAAGUAUCUAGAAAGGGUCUGAAAUUAUAUUCAUCAGGUCCAUGAAAACAGUUGUGGCAUUAGUCAACCCAAACGGCAUUGCUAUAAACUCGUACUGGCCAUAUCGGGUUUUGAAUGCACUCUUGGGAACAUCUCCCUCCUUGACUCGCAGUUGGUGAUAGCCCGAUCGGAGAUCAAUCUUAGAGAAUACUUGGGCCCCUUGAAGCUGGUCAAAGAGGUCGUCAAUCAUAGGCAGGGGGUAUGUGUUCUUUACUGUGACUUGAUUCAACUGCCAAUAGUCUAUACACAGUUUCAUGGACCCAUCUUUCUUCUUCACAAACAAGACAGGUGCACCCCAAGGUGAUACACUGGGUCGGAUGAACCCCUUUUCCAACAAUUCAUGCAAUUGCUUUCUCAGCUCCUUUAAUUCGGCUGGGGCCAUCCUAUAAGGGGCUUUGGAGAUGGGAGUAGUACUAGGGACCAUAUCUAUCUCAAAUUCUAUCUUCCUUACUGGGGGCAAAGAGGUAAACUCAUCAGGAAAAACUUUUUAGUACUCUCUUACCACUGGUAUCUCCUCUAACUUAGACUGGACAUCCCGAUUUUCUACUAUGUAGGCUAAGUACCCAACAUAUCUUUUAGCCAGAAGACGGGAAGCCUGAAGGGAAGAGAUAAGUUGUAGAGGGGAAGCUCCCUUAAUACCAACAAAAAGCAACUCAUGCUGGUUUGGGUGUCUAAAGGUCACAGUUUUAUUGUAACAAUUUACUAUAGCAAGAUGUGUGGACAACUAGUCCAUGCCCAAGAUACUUAGGAUUAAUAUUCAAAAGUAUCAAAUCUAUAGGUAGAACACACUCUUAAAGCAAAACCCCACAUUGUUUAUAAACCAUAUCAGUCUCUAUAGAUUCCCCCAUAGGCGUGCAUACUACCAAUGUUGUCAAGAAGUGAAGGUCUAGCAUUUAUGUGGCAUGCAAAGUGAGGUGCAACAAAAGAAUGAGAAGAUUCAGGGUCAAUCAAAAUUCUAGCUUCCAUACCACAAACAGAGAGCUUACCUCGGAUUACAGAGGUAAACGCCUUGGCUUCCUACUCCAUGAGUGCAAACACCCGACCUUGCGUCCUUGGUCUGUUCUCUGACCCCUUUGCCAGGCAGUCCUUGAUCAGGUGGCCAUGCUUGCCACAUCGGAAACAUGACCCCGCCUUUUUAUAGCACUCGGCCCCAGAAUGGCCGCUUAACCCACAGUAAG
Molecule: long non-coding RNA, 57841 nt
Filed under: Amborella trichopoda
Lineage: Eukaryota; Viridiplantae; Streptophyta; Magnoliopsida; Amborellales; Amborellaceae
Description: long non-coding RNA (ATRI_LNC004364)
Source: RNAcentral